This 70257-nucleotide long non-coding RNA is filed under the name Cucumis sativus (cucumber). Its description in RNAcentral is "long non-coding RNA (CSAT_LNC001128)". The record is from RNAcentral. Lineage: Eukaryota; Viridiplantae; Streptophyta; Magnoliopsida; Cucurbitales; Cucurbitaceae.
GGGAGGGGAUAAAAGCAUCUUUCAUCUUAGAAAUAAGCUUAGCAGUUAGCAUUAACCUUUAUAUUUUGAUUACGUCUUAAACUUCAUCUACAAAAUCUGGUAAACAGAAAGACCUAAUCCAUAAUGCUAAAGAGGAAAAGACCAAGUCAGAUUCCUUUAUUCAAACAGGUUAGUAUCACAGCUCCAAAAGGAAAAAACUUACGGAUCUCUACGACGAAUUCCUUGAAUGAUGUAGCAGCAUCUGAUGCUUGAAACACGGUUUCAUUUAUGUUGUGAAAAAUAAGAUCGAUAAAUAAAACUUUUGGCUACAAUUAGCCACAGAAACAUAAAGUUGUGACAGGAAAAUAAAAGCUAACAGAUAAUUAACUAUACAGUUUGUAGGCAAAAUACCAAAUAGCCCAUAAUCAAGAUCACAACUCAAGCAGACAAUAAUGUGUAGUUUAUCAUUUCCAACCAAAUAAUUCAAUAAUACAUAAGGUCAAAUGGCCAAAUAAUAUGGCCUUUCACAUAAAUACUUGCUCCCUGAAUAUUUUGAACGAUAAUGUUAUCGUUUCUCUCCCACGUUUCACGAAGGUGUUGGAAUUUUUUGUCCUAAAACUCGUAGUUUGUAAAUCAUAUUCUGUUCAAUAAAGUUGUUAUUGAGAAAUUAAAUAUUAUAAUCUUAAAUCCAAUAAAUCAAGUUCCAAGACUAUUUUUGAAUAAACUUGAACUUUAUGUGUAAACAUAAACGUGGAUCAAGUUCGAGUAUAUAGCCUAAAUAGUCUAUAGUAUAUGAAAUAAAGGUUGGGCGCCUUAUUUAGAGAAACUAUGGAUGCGGCCCACUUUGUAGUACAAACGAGGUGAUCCUAAUCGUUCAUGUAGAGACAUGAAAGUGGGGACAUCCUAUGUAAAAUGUUUACAUAAGACUGAAUCAUGAAUUAGUCUUUUUUACGUUAUAACACCGUUUAUUGUUUAAAAUUGACUAUCUCAAUUAUUGAUGACCUUGGUAACUUAGUCUUAAUCCUGAGUUAACUAUGAAUUCCUGAUCACACGAGAUUAUCCUUAGAUCUGCAUAGGUGACGGUAGCUCAUCAGCGUUGGCCCAAAAGCCUCCCAUUUCAGGGGUAAGAUCGGGUGGAUAGCUGGGCACAUAGGGUACAAGAUGAAAUUCACUCCUACCCGCUUUAGGGUUAGUAAAUAGGUUGUUCUCUUAAGCACUGAAUCCAAGUCUUGAACAAGGGGCCCCACCCUCUCAUUGGCCCGAGAGGGAUUAAGUUUAUAGGUUCAACCUUAAACCAAUUGUUCAAUAGUGGAUUAGUGGGACUUAAGGAGGAAGAUGUAAUCUUGGGGGUAAAACGGUAUUUUGACCCAGCCAAGGUUACGAGCAACCUGUGAAGGAUUAACUUACUGAUUAUGGUUUUAUCAAAUGGACACAAAUAUAUCUAUAGUGAGGGGAGUGCAACUACGGGACUUUAGUGGAAUGACCCGUUAGUUAACGAAUGUUGAUUAACUCGGUUUAAAAGAGUUUAGCUAGUUAAUCUUGAAUCGUUUGAGCCCAUGAUCUAUAGGUCCAUUAGGUUCCUCUGCUAGCUCAUAUGGAUUAAACUUAGAACAGUGUGAUGAAAUAAGUCGAAUUGUUCGAAUUGGGAGAAGAAAGGGAAACCGACAAAUAUAGUGAUAUAGUCGUCGGUCUUCUAAUUAGAAAUAGAGCUUUAUGUUUUACAUACUAUAAGUAUGAAUGCGGAUUCAUACUAAGAAGCUCGGAAUUGAAGAAAUUGGUCAAAAAUAGUAAAAAGUCAAAAUAGUAAACUUUUGGCUUUGAAAAGUCAAACUUUGAUCGGCCUUAUAUUCAAAUGUAAUUUGAAUUUUGGAAAAAUGAAUGCGGAUUCAUGCUCGGGAGGUUAGAAUUAGUCAAGAUGGACAAAAUGAUAAAAGUCAAAAUAUUGACUUUUGACUAAGAAAAGUCAAAGUUUGACUUUUGACUAGAAAUAUCUAAUGACCAUUUUACCCUUGGACUAAGUUAGUGGGAAAAUCCAACAUUUUGUUGGAUAAUCCCACUAACUCUUAGUGGGAUAUGUGGCUAUAUGAGAUAUAGACACCUAGCCCACUAAGUUCCACUAAUUGUUAGUGGAACAUUAGGUGUUGAGAUUUGGCCAAUGAAUUGCAUGCAUUUUUGCAUGUAAUUAGGUUAUAAAUAGAGGUGUUUUCAAAUGUUGAAGGACUUUUGCCUCUUUUAUCAUUUUCAUCAUCUCAACCAAAGAAAAAAAAGGAAACCUUUCAAUCCCAUUUUAUCUCCAUUACUUUCUACACCAAAAUUGGGUCCCACAACCCGAUUCUUUGUCUAGAGGAUAGCAGUUGAGUACUAGUGGUGGUCUCGGUUAUAAUUGGUAAGAAGAUAUCAAACUUUUUUGAAAGCUUCAAAGUUAAUAUUUUCUAAAACCCUAAUUUGAUUAGUUUAUGGUUACAUGUUAAUUGUGGCAAUUAGGGUAGAAAUUCGAUUCUUUUUCUGCUGUGCAUAACUUAGUUCUAUCAAAAGGUACUUUAAGGUUUAGUGUUUAGAAUUUCAUGUGUCGGGGUUUUGGGGUUUUGGUGUUGGGAGUUUAGAGGUUUGGAGGCUGGGAGGUUGGAAGGUUUGAGGGGUUGGGGGUUGGGUUUAGUGGUCUCGGGGUUUUAGGGUUUGGGGGUUGAGGGUUGGGUUUAGGGGUUCUGGGUUUCGUUCGAGGUUUUGGGGUUUGGGGGUUGGGGGUUUGGGAGUUGGGGAUUGGAAGGUUUGGCAGUUGGGUUUAGGGGUUUUGGGUUUCGAGGUUCCAAGGUUUGUGGUUUUAGGGUUUUCGAUUUCGAGUUUAGGGUUCGAGGUUCAAGGUGCGAGGUACGAGGUUCAUGAUUCGAGAUUUGGAGUUAAGGGUACUUUAGGGUUUAGUGUUUAGGAUUUUAGGUUUGGAUUUCAGGAUUGGGGUUUGGGGUUCGGAGUUUGUGGUUUGGGGUACUUUGGGGUUUAUGGAUUAGGGGUUAAAGUUUAGGAUUUAUGGUUUACGGUUUUAGGUUUUUGAGGGUUUAAGGUUUAAGGUUUAAGGUGCAUGGAUCGGUUCGGGGUUCGUGAUUUCAAGAUUCGAGGUGUAGCGUUUGGAAUUUCAGGGUUUAGGGUUUAAGAUUUAGGUUAGAGUUAUAGGGUUGUGUGUUAUUAGAUUCUGAGACGAUGACCAAUAAUAAUCAAAGUUUGAUACCCAUAAUAAGAAGCUCAAUUUUUCAAACGAAUCGACAAUACAAAAUGAAUAGAUAUUCCUUAAAUAAUAGAAAUUGUUAUCUCCACCAGCAAAGUUUGGAGUUAGGAUUACAUGUUUCGAAUUUCGAGUUUCAGGGUUUUGGGGUUUUGGGGUUGGGGGUUGGGGUUUUGGAGGUUUAGGGGUUAGGGGUUAGGGGUUGGAAGGUUUGAGGGGUUGGGGGUUGGGUUUCGAGGUUCAGGCUUUUUGAGGUUUCGACGUUUUGGGGUUUUGGGGGUUGGGGGUUUAGGGUUUGGGGGAUGGGAGGUUGGAAGGUUUGGGGUUUGGGUUUAGGGGUUUUGGUUUCGAGGUUCAAACAUUUUAAGGUUUUGAGGUUUGUGGUUUUGGGGUUAUAGGUUUCGAAGUUCGAGGUUUGACAUUCGAGGUUCGAAUUUCAGGGUUCGGGUUUAGGGUUUGGGGUUAGAGGUUAAGGGUACUUUAGGGUUUAGUGUUUAGGAUUUUGGGUUUGGAUUUCGAGAUUGGGGAUUGGGGUUUGGGGUUUACGGUUUAGAGUUAAGUUAAAGUUUAGGAUUUAUGGUUUUAGGGGUUUAGGGUUUAGGGUACAUGGAUCGGUUCGGAGUUCGUGAUUUCAAGAUUCGGGGUGGAGCGUUUGGGGUUUCAUAGUCUAAGGUUUAGGUUAGAGUUAAAGGGUUGUGUGUUAUUAGAUUAUGAGACGAUGACCAAUAUUAAUCAAAGUUUGAUACCCAAAAUGCAUGUAAUUCGAAUCAUAAUAAGAAACUCAACAUUUCAAACCAAUCCAUAAUACAAAAUGCAUAGAUAUUCCCUAACUAAUAGAAAUUGUUAUCUCCACCAACAAAGUUUGAAGUUAGGAUUACAGGUUUCAGAUUUCGAGUUUCAGGGAUUAGGGGUUUUGUGGUUGGUGGUUGGGGGUUUGGAGGUUUGGAGGUUUGGGGGUUGGGUUUCGAGGUUUGUGGUUUUGAGGUUUUAGGUUUCGUGUUCAGGGUUCGAGGUGCGAGGUUCGAGGUUAGGGGUACUUUAGGGUUUAGUGUUUAGGAUUUUAGGGUUCUGGUUUCGAGAUUGGGGAGGGUUUCGGGUUCAAGGUUCGUGGUUUGGGGUACUUUAGGGUUUAUGGUUUAGGGGUUAAAGUUUAGGUUUUAUUGUCUACGGCUUUAGGUUUUUAGGGGUUUAAGGUUUAGUGUUUUAGGUUUCAGGGUUUAGGGUGCAUGGAUCGGGGUUCGUGAUUUCGAGUUUCUGGGUAGAGCGUUUGGGGUUUCAAGUUUUAGGUUUCGGGGUUUUGGGGUUUUUGGGUUUUUGGGUUUGGGGGUUGGGUUAGAGGUUUUAGGUUUCGAGGUUUAGACUUUUCGAGGUUUCGAGGUUUGUGGUUUUGGGGUUUCAGGUUUCGUGUUCGGGGUUCGAGGUUCAGGGUUUGGGGUUCGAGGACUAUAGAGGAUUGAGGCUAACCACCAAUCAGGAUGAAAAAUGAAAACAAAUUAUAUUAUAAACAUUCUCAAAUCUAAUCCGAUAUAAUAAUAAAAGUUUGAAAAAGUAGCACCACUCAACAAAUAAAAACAACAAAAUUUUGUGGGAAAUUGUCUGUAUGGCCAAAAACAAUAUUCCAAAAGUUCUUCAAUGCUAAAAAGAAAGAGGAUAAAGAAGAUAAUAAACAUUAAACUGGAGAGUAUCAUUUCCUAUACCAUCCAACGUGUAGCUAAUAGAGUGACGCAUCGGUAAGAGUAUAAAUAAAAUUGAAAACUAAGAGUGCUCAGUUUUACUUUGAUCGUGCAAAUGGUCUAUCUUUCUCGAGUUCUAACUCCAUAAGUUUAGCUUCUACUUCUCAGUUUUUAGCUAAGCCCAUGCCCCAUUCCAACUUUAUCUCCUGUGACCGGAGACCAGCAUCACAAGCAGCCACAGUGAGAUUUGAUAAAAGCAUUGAUAAGAACUAUAACUUCUGAGAAGUACAUAGUUUAAAGUAGAAUUUUAAUUAAAUCUUAACUCUUGAAUACCACCCUAAGACUUCAAUACUAUACUUUAAUUCAACCAACCACUAAUAAACAUAGAACAAGAAAUUGGAACAAGUCUGAAUUAUUAAUAUCACAAAGCCUAAAUAUUAGAAUUAUCAAUAUGAAAAAAGAUGAAACAAGUCUCAACUCAAGAUAGCUAGUUUUGAGAAGCUUUAAGUUUGUAGCUUUUCAACAUAGUCAACAAAACAUGAAGCAUACCUAAAGAAAGAGAAAGUCUCAUGCUAUUAAAUUAAUUGAAACCACAAGCAACAACAAAAAAAUUAGCUUGAUUAAACAAGUUCUUAAUAAUCUUUUGAUUGAGCCAAACAAGCUAAACCACACCAUUCAGACUAGUCAAAAGCAAACAACCCAAAUGCUGAAUUUCAUUAUGAUUCGUCCUAACAUGUAUAUAUAUCUAAACAUGAAACUAAAACUUCCCAAUUUUGCAUAAGCUUAAAAAAGACAUGAAUUUAAGAUAAUUAAAAAAGUUAUCUAAGGUACCCAAAGGAUCGCUUCUUUUUUUAAUAUUAUUAUUAUUGAAAAAGUUAACUACAGGAGGAACCUCUUCAAUAAAAAGUUCUGCACCAAGAUCACCUCUGACAACCAUUGCCUAAAAUGAAAAUAAAUAAUGUUCUUCAAUUAGCAACAAAGCCCCAGACUACCAACAAAAUUGAAAACCUUUGAAUGAAAUUUAACAUUAACGAAGCUAUAAAAAAAUUCAAACAAUUACCCCAUCAGAAGCUGUAAUAAUUGAAUGCAAAUUUGGUAUGGAGUAUACACUUUCUAUAUUUACAAUCACGUUAAUAUCAGCAUCACAGCCUGUAGAGUCAGAUAAGUUAAUAAGUUUGUAGUAGAACAGACUAGCAGAAAUGGCAGCAUCCAAAUUGUCUUUAUAAGCACAACAUAAAGAUCUGAAGCUAUUUACUCUUGAGGUAUUUCAACUCAUGAACUAGUUUGUUGUCAACUCCAAAUUUAAUAUCAUCCAAAUCCUUCUCAGCAAGAAGUAGACAACAAAUUCAUUGAGUCACAGACAAAAAAAUAAAUUUACUUAUAGAAAAAUCCCGAAAAGAAGAAACUUCACGAAAAGGUGAAAUCUAUAGGAUAUGCUUAUUCAAUCCAACCAAUAAUUGAAGGAAGUGUAGCACUUUUCCCUCGAACAUUUAAAUGUCUCAUGGACUUGAGCUCUCCUCCAUCAAUAACUUCACAUAAGACAGAAUCUUCUGUCUUAGACUUCACCAUCAACGACAUCAUUCCACCUCUAAUGGAUUUAAAUAGCCAAUGUUUGUGCAAGCCACGAGAUAAUUAGAAAAAAAGAAAGCACAUGCGAUGUAACAUACAUAAAAAAAUAAUAAUAAACAUUAUACAUCAUCUAAGAUAGCAACAAGGAAAUACUAAAGAACUUGGGCAUCACAUAGGUGUGGGUGUGGGAGGGAGAUCAAACCAUUUGCUAUAGUCAAUCCAUCCAGUGAAAAAAGUCAAUAUGUCGUUUCCCUUGGCUAAAACCAUUUGCUAUAAUCUGGCUCAUUUAGAACUUAUUUGAAAGUUCAUUGCUGUGAUAUAUAUAUAUAUAUAUAUAUAUAUAUAUAUAUAUAUAUAUAUAUAUAUGUCAUUUAUUAUAAUUUUACAUGGUCUCUAGGGUUUAGUUUAUUCUCUAUAUAAAUAUGUAACAUUGCUUUGACUCAAACAUAAUAAGACAGAUACUUCUCUGAAUUCUAGAUUACAUGGUAUCAGAGCCAUUAGGGUUUUGAAUGGCCAUUAGCUUCCUCCUCCAUUAGGUUCGAGUUUAGGUUACCUUCCGCUGACCAUUUGUCGACACCGCCCAUACCAUAAGAAGCACCACCUCCGUCCGCCCAAGUCUGUCUUCGCCGAUCGCCGGAAAACACCGCGUGUGACCUUCACGCACCACCGGAAUCAUCGUCGCCUUCACCCACGCAUCGGCGCGUGAGAAGUUUGAUUUGUCUUUCGUCUUCUGGGCUUGUCUCGAACCAUUGUUUCCUGUCAGUCUGUACCAUUGGGUCUAUCAAAUAACAUUUGGGUUUGACGAAAACUGAAGGUUACACGAUUGGUUUUGGGUCUUUUUCCAAUUUUGCAGCUGUUUGGAUCGAUUUUCUCUUUGUUCGUGUGGACUACAAUCAACGUGUGACUUCAAUAUGGCCGACAUAAAAAAUUUGGUAGUCUCCAACGUUAUUCCCUUGGCCUCUAAGAUCACAGAACAUAAGUUAAAUGGAUCCAAUUAUUACGAUUGGCGUCAAACAAUUUUAUUUUAUUUGAGAAGUACUGAUAUGGAUGAUCAAUAUGACUGAAGAUCCCCCAAAAGAUGCAAAGCAGAAGAAGGAUUGGCUUCGUGAUGAUGCCCGUUUAUAUCUUUAGAUCAAGAAUUCAAUUGAGAGUGAGAUAAUUGGAUUGGUUGAUUACUGUGAGUCUGUUAAAGAACUUUUAGAAUUUUUGGAUUUUCUAUACUCAGGUAAAGAGCAAGUGCUGAUAGAAUGUUUGAAGUUUGUAUGCAAUUUUUUCGUGCGGAACAGAAAGCUGAGUCUGUCACCAGCUACUUUAUGCGGCUUAAGAAGAUCAUUGCCGAGCUUGGCUUGUUGUUACCUUUAGUCUUGAUGUUAAAGUUCAACAAGUUCAACGAGAGAAGAUGGCUGUUAUGAUUUUCCUGAAUGGACUCUUACCUGAAUUUGGAAUGGCAAAGACACAGAUUCUCUCUGACUCCAAGAUUCCAUCAUUAGAUGAUGCCUUCACUCGAGUCCUUCGCAUUGAAAGCUCUCCGACUAGUGUGUCUAUUCCUCAACCCAGUAGUGCUCUCUUUUAGCAAGAACAAUAACCCUCGAGCACCUCAGAGGAAUAGUACUGAUCAUCGAAAACCAGAGUCUGUAGAGAUUGUUUUGUAACUACUGUCGUAAGCCAGGCCAUAUGAAACGUGAUUGUCGGAAAUUGCUAUAUAAGAAUAGUCAACGAUCUCAACAUGCUCAGAUAACCUCCACAUGUGAUAUACCAGAGGCGUCAGUUACUAUUUUUGCAAAUGAGUUUGCUAAGUUUCAGAAUUACCAAGAGUCAUUACAAGCGUCAUCUUCCUCUACUCCGAUUGCAUCCACUGUUACCCUAGGUAAUACAAAGUGUCUUCUUACAUCAUCUACCAAAUGGGUCAUAGACUCUGGUGCCAAAGCUCACAUGACAGGUAAUUCUCACCUAUUUUCUAGAUCGUUGUCCCCUGCCCCUUUUCCAUCGGUUACAUUGGUCGAUGGCUCCACAUCUUCUGCUCUUGGCUCUGGCACUAUUCACCUUACCCCAUCCUUUUCUCUCUCUUCUGUGUUACAUUUGCGUAACUUAUCCUUUAAUUUAAUUUCUACUAGUCAACUUACUCAUGACCUAAAUUGUGUUGUCAUGUUCUUUUCUGGUUAUUGCUUGUUUUAGGAUCGUGUGACGAAAAAGAUUAUUGGUAGAGGAUAUGAGUCAGGAGGUCUUUAUCUCUUUGAUCAUCAAGUAUCGCAAGCUGUGGCGUGUCCUGUCGUUCCCUCUCCUUUUGAAGUCCAUUGUCGUUUAGAUCAUCCAUCUUUGUUUGUGUUGAAGAAACUUUAUCCAGAAUUUAGGUCUUUGUCCUCUUUAAAUUGUGAUUUGUGUCAAUUUGCGAAAUUUCAUCGUCUUAGUUCGAGUCCUCGAGUCGAUAAACGAGGAAUUGCUGCAUUUGAGUUAGUUCAUACUGAUAUUUGGGGUCCAUGUCCAGUUGUAUCUCAAACAGGCUUUUGUUAUUUUGUUACUUUUGUUGACGAUCAUUCUCGUCUAACUUGGUUAUAUUUAAUGAAAAAUCGUUCUGAGUUAUUAUCUCAUUUUUGUGCCUUUCAUACUGAAAUAAACAACCAGUUUAUUGUCUCUAUCAAAACUUUGCGUACUGAUAAUGCAGGUGAAUAUUUUUCUCAUUCUCUUGGCUCUUACUUGUGUGAAAAUGGCAUUAUUUAUCAGUCUUCCUGUGCUGACACUCCAUCUCAAAAUGGUGUUGCAGAGCGAAAAAAAAGGCAUUUACUUGAAACUGCCCGUGCUUUAUCGUUUCAAAUGUAUGUUUCAAAAACCUUUUGUGUGGAUGCUGUCUCUACAGCUUGUUUUUUGAUUAAUCAGGAAGCUUCACAGAGCAAGGUAAAGCUUAAGAAUUCAGAGUUAGUUAAGAUCAAAACCAUAAUCAUACAACAAUCAACAACAAACAAAUCUCAUAUCUCAUCAAAUUUUUCAAAAAGAUAAAUAAAAGAAAACAAGUAAGAAUCAGACAAGCAAACAUACAAUGUCUAUUUUUCCAUUUGAAUUUUUCCUACAUCUGUUAAGUUCCAAAUAUGUUUUUGAGUCAUUGGAAAUUACUUUUUAUAUUACAAAAUCACUUUUAAAAGUAGACACAAACAAAGGUUAAUAUGGCUAAUGGAACAAUAACCUACAAAUUUUUAGGUACUCUACCCUACAAAUUAAAUUCACAAUUCUUGCAACAAUGCUUUUGACUUCAUUUAUAUCAAGAUAUUGAUGUCACACAAGUGAUACUAAUAACAAGAAACAAAACCAAGAAUCAAUAGUUUCAUCAUUUUUUCUUUUCUCUUGGGCAUUGCCGAUCUCAUUCUAAAGUGAUUUUCCUUAGCCAAAACAACAAUGAAAUCAAAUCACAGUUACUAUGAAAAUGUUAGUGUAAAGUACGAAGCAUUCUUCUUCAUUUUUGGGUUGAUCCAUUCUCCAUUGUACUCAAUGGAAAAUUAAAUUAAAAUUAUGGAACUGUUUCUUCAUCCAUUUCCAAUAAACCCAGUUAAAGAAAUCACUCAGAACAACAAAAAAAUGAUAAUAAAUAUAUAGCAACUUUGAACAAGAAAACAUGUUUUUGAAUUGAAUCUUUCCCUUAGCCAAUAUCAAAGUUUUAAUACAGUGGAAGAACACUUUUAACAAAACAUUUAUUAAUAAAAAUUAACUUUGUUAACUAGUUUCUAAAAACACUCUCAAAUAUGCCUUCCAUAACCUGGUUUAAGUUUUGAAGAAAAAUGACUAAUGGGCUGGGAUACUCAUGCCAUGGAGUGGCAAAAAAGAGGCUGAACUUUGUAUUUGAAGUAUCAUGUUGGUGAAGACAUGUAAAAGGUCUUAUGAACAUUUCAAUUUAACUCUUUUGUCUCUUGAGUACUAUAGCUUUAGACUAAUGAUUAUUUUCCAGUUUGUCUCUACACAAAAGACCAGUUUGUCCAUUUCUACUUUAAUUGUCAGCCUUCCAAGCUUGUCAAAUACAUCAGUUUUUAAGAUUUAUGUGCACCCCAUGUCAUUAAUCCCUUCCCAAGCUGAUUUUCCUUCGUAAAUAUAUAUUACAUUAACACUUAAACACACAUAUUUCAAAGAUUGAUUCCAAAACGAAAAUGAGAAAUGAAUGAAACUCAAAUCAAAAUUAGAGAAAUAGAGAGUGGAGGUGAAAAUAACCAGAAAAUUUACAAUAAUGCUAUGGAGGAAAAGAAGACAAGUGACUGAAGGAAAUGAGGACUCAGGGAAAAGACUCCUAUUGGAAGAAGGAACUAAGUUACCAUUUUGAAAUUCAAGAAAGAAACUGGUGGAUCUUGAAAUGGGUGUAUGUAUCUCUAUUAGCAACCCAAACUACUGUUUGAACAGAGAUUUUAUUAUACCAAAUGCUUAUGUAAUACUUGGAUGAAGAAGAUGAAGAUUUCAUGAGUAGAAAAAAAAAAAGAGAAAUAUGAAGGAAACAUAAAUGAUGUGGGGGGACACUGAAGAAACAGAUCCAAAAACAUGCAGUACUAUGAACUGCAAGAACAAGCAAUCUCUUAAGCUAGAAAAAGAAGAAACAUGAAAAACCAAGGAUGUAAUUAUCUAUACCUCAUCUGUAUGACGUAAAUCGUCGGGGAAGAAGGAAGAUGAGGACAAACCCUUCAAGUCCAAAACUUUAGACAGCAUGAUGGAACUGAAAAAGAACAAAUCCCAAAAUAAAGAAAGAAAACUCAAAGAAGCUCCAUAAAAAAGGACGCCAAAAAUUGCAACCCCACUCCUUCAGAAGGCAAUUCAAAAACUUCCCUGGAGCCUAUAAAAAUCUACAGGUCGAGCAAAACAUUUCAUGAGUAGAGAAAAAAUAAAAGAAAUCAAAUUACAAAACGAAGAAUCAUUUGUUAAACUAACUUAAACACCACAAUUCAUAUUUUUUUAGGGUUACCCAUUGUGCACACACCAAAUCAUUCUUAAGAGAUUUAAGUUUAACAGUAAAGACCAGAGAUGGAUCAAACUGUUACACCAUUGUUAAAAAGAAGAAAAGAAGGCCCAUAGAAAGGAAGCUAUUAAGGAAGAUAUUUCAUUGUUGGCAAAGAGCAUUGAAAGGCUGGGUGUGCAGGCUGGACAGCAACAGCAGCAACAACGAACUUUCAUGAAAUAUACUUAAGGAAUGAUUAAGGAAAGACAACAUGGGAAGAAGUUCCAGAAGGUUCGUCCAACAAGAAAGAAACUAUGAUUGAUGUCAGUGAUUCAUUUGUGAUGGGAGGAAAAUCGGAAGAAAAAUACACCAAGUUGGAAGGAGAAGAAUCUGCAGGGGAUCGAAGCAAAUUCAAGAAAAUUGACAUGCCAGUUUUCGCGGGUAUUGCCCGGAUUCUUGGUUAUUUAGAGUAGAACGUUAUUUUCAGAUACACAAACUUACUGAGCCAGAAGAAGAUGACGGUGAUAAUCAUUAGGUUUGAUGGUGCAGCCUUGGAUUGGUAUAGAUCUCAUGAAGACCGUGAACCGUUUGUUAAUUGGGAAGAUUUAAAGAGAAGACUUAUUAUUCGAUUUCGAUCAGACCGUGAGGGAUCAAUAUUGGGCAGAUUUUUAACGAUAAAACAAGACACUACAGUGGAUGAAUACAGAAUUUUUUUUGAUAAAUUGGUGGCACCUUUGCCUUUUCUGCAUAAGACAGUUAUAGAAGAGACAUUUAUGAAUGGUUUGAAACCUUGGAUUAAGACAAAAUUGGAAUGUUGGGAACGACUGUUGUUGGCUUGCUCAAAUGAUGAAAUUGGCCUAGAAAAUUGAGAACCGAGAGGUGAUAAGGGUGAAUCUGACUUAAAAUGUGCAGGGGAUGAUAAAACCCAAGUUUCUACUUCUUUAAAUACUCAAUUUCAUGUAGUUUCCAAUGACAAUAAGUCAGAAGGUACUGUUCCAGUAAGGGCUAUCACACUUCGAGGGGCUGCAGAAAUUAAUUGACGGGAAGGACCACCAAGACGACUUUUUUGUGAUGUUGAGUUUCAAGCCAGAUGUGAGAAAGGGAUCUGCUUUUGUUGUGAGGAAAAAUUUUGUGCAGGCCAUAGAUGUAAGGUGAAGGAUCAGAAGGAACUCAGAGUGUUAGUUGUUCAAGCAAAUGGGGAGGAAUUGGAAGUAGUGGAAGAGGAUGAUCGUAUAGAGGAACUUGAGGUAAAAGCUAUUGAACUUGGUAUAGAAUAAAAAGAACCAGUGAUAGAAUUGUCAUUAACUUCAUGGAACACCGGAUUAAAUGCGAUAUCAAGUGCUGCUUAAUUAUCACACCACAAUUUUGCUGGUGUGGUGAUUUCAAAUUCCAACUCAACAAUAGUCAAAAAGUUGAUAUAUCCAAAUCAAUUUGAUAUAUCCAAUUCACACAAAAAACUGUGCAAUUGCUCUAUAUUUUUUUAUUAUGCACUUGAAUGUGACACCACAUUUUGUUUCUUACUUUUCCAAGACAUCAAAUUGCCACCAAACAAAAACAAAAUAUCCUGAAGUUGAUCUUUCGUCUUCUUUAGAUUUUACCAAUUAACAUCUGAGAAAUAUUCAAUAUUAGUAUGACUAUAAUCCUUAUAUAAUAAAACCAUGCCCGAGAGCAGCCUUCAGAUAACACUGAAUCAUUCCAAAGCAGCUGAAUGAUCAACUUUAGGGCAUGACAUAUACUGGCUCAUAAUACUUACUAAAUAGGCUAUGUCGAGUUGAGUCACUGGAAGGUAAUUAAGUUUUUCCUCUAACCUCCUAUAUCUUUCAAGAUCUUUCAACAAUUCUCCAUCUUUUGUGAGCUAUAAGUUAGGCAUCGUUGGGGUACUACAUGGCUUAGCCCCUACCUUCCAUGUUUCAGUCAACAAGUCCAUAUUUUCUCGUGUGAUAAUAGUAUUGCUUUCUUGCCUGUUUUUACCUCAAAUUCCUAGGAGGUAUUUCAACAUGCCCAAAUCUUUUAUUUGGAAUUGGCAAUAGAGAAAAGUCUUCAAGGACUGGAUAUCUACAGAAUCAUCACCAACAACCACAGUUGCAUCAACAUAUACUACUAUUAGGAUCACCCCACUCUCGGAUCUUUUAAAAAAGUUCGAAUGAUCUAACGGGCUCUUUUGCAUUCCAAAACUUUCGAUCACCUUAAUAAAUUUGCCAAACCAAGCCCGUGGACUACGUUUUAGUCCAUCUAAAGAUUUACAAAGGCGACACGCCUUUCCAUUCUUCCCCUGAGCAACAAACCCUAGUGGUUGCUCCAUAUACACCCCUUCUUGAGGAUCACCAUGAAGAAAUGUUAGAAAUUAAUAAGCUAGAUACAUUAUGGAUAACACAUUAAUAGAUACAUUUCUAGUUUCAAGAUACAUAUGCAUUUCUAGAUACAUGUAAUUAUUCAAGUACAUGAAUGGUAUGUAUUCAUGUACUUCAUUUAUUUUGUGUCUUUUAGGAAGUGUCUCUUGAAUACUAUAUAUAGAGAUCAUUUCCUUCAUUUGUAUACAAGAAAAAAGAAUCAAAUCAAUAGAAGCAAAUUGAGUUUCAAGAGAACAACAUUCUUCUCUUGUGUGUUAUUGAGUUUUCUAAGAGAACAAAUUUCUUCUCUUAAAAGUUUGUGAGAUUUAGAGUAAAUUUAGAGUGGGCUCGUCAACGCCUCCAACAAGAAAUGUGUAAGGACCCUAGAUAGAAAAAUAGUGGAUUAUUAGGAAAGAUGGAAGAAGACUCGACCGCAGUUGAGAGAGGACUUGGGAGCAAGCACUUAAAAUGGGCUGCUAAUUGCAAACUUGAGGUGGAUGAGAGGGAGAAACUCCAUGGACAUGGGAGCAUAUGCAGAAAUGGAUUGUGGAUUGCAAGGCAGAAAGAAUACAGAGGAGUGCUCAAACAAUACAUCAAAAGCUUUCUGAAGGGCUGCAAAGAGAUAAAGAAAGAGCGGAGAAGAAACUAGAAGAAAUUAAAGUUGAAGAAAAACAGAAAUGGAACAAUGACUUAAAGAUGAAGGAAUCGAAGAACGACCAUGAAAAAGAUGAAGGAGGAGGAAGCCAAAUCUAACUGUGUAUUCCCAUGGCCGACAACUAAGGGUGAGGUGGUCGGAGACAAACACUUGGUGGAAAUGGAAACACCGAACAGAGAAGGCGGAAGCAUGGGAAAGGAGGCAAACACUAUGGAUGAGAAGGAAGGCAAAGAAACGAUUGAGGAAGCGAUCAUUGAUACUUGGUGGUAGUGAAGAAAACAAAAAGAAGAAUCAAACAGUACAUGUGUGGAACAAGUCGACCUGGAUACGAUCUGUGAAAAUAGAAGAAACGACUCAUUGGAGUGGCAGUAUUGAGAGGCUGAUCAUAUAUAUAGGCCAAGAUUUUGUUGAGGUACGUUACUUUCCUUGCCUUUCUUUUGUGGCGUGCGAGUUAUAUCAAAGUAGGGAAGGGAUGAGGAAGCUAGGCAAUGAAGAAGAUGAACAAAGGAAUUUCGAAGGACAUCGAAGUAAGAUAGAAUGGGUAACGACAAGGAAGAAAAUGGCAAUGGAAUUAGUACAGGAUCACAGAAGAGGCUGGCGAAUGGAAACAUAUUGGGUCGUGACAGAAAAUCGAGGCGGGAUGAAUAGAAACCGCGGCGGAGGAAAGAUUCUGAGUCGGUCACCAGUGGCCAGAAAAAGAAGAAGAUGGAUUGUCGAAAAGUCCAGUUACAGGAAGAGGAGAUGGAGACAGGGUGCGUUGGAGCUAGUCGACCUAAGCCACAAAGGGAGUUUGUCGGAACGCGAAUAGCAACGAAGCUGCAAGUGAGAUCGGAAAUUGUCGGGAAGAAUGCUUUGAUAUUUGCAGAGGAGUGAGCAGCUACGGACAAAAAAAAUUCAGAAAGGAGGGGAAGAUUUCUUGAAGAAAAACGAUUCUUCAACCCACGUGAAGCGUCAGACGUUAGGGCGAAAAAUUAGAGACAGUAGUAGUUAUGAUUUGUUUAAUGGGCUGAAAUUAAAUGAAAAGGCCCAGAUUUUCUCAAAUGAGCUUGGCCUAGUGGAGAAAUUGGGGAUCAAAUUCCUAAUAAAUGUCCAGGAAAACAAAGUGGAGGCUAGGAGAAGGAUUGGCACAUGCAAACCUCAAUGGUUAAAGUAUAUCACGUGGGAUGGCAAAUAGGGAAAGAAUUUAAUCAAAAGUGGGCCAAAAUGUUGCUUUUUGGGCUGAUUGCAAAAGUAAGGGAUGAGGCCCAUUAUACCUCAAAAAAAAAUAAAUUGAUGGCUUUAUCUAAGGAAGUGGAAAUCCUAUUGGAAUAUGGAUGGUGGGCCAAACAUGAGAUGAUAAACAAAGAAAUACAGCCUUCAUAAAGAAAGAAAGGAAAUUAAUGGGCUUGAAUUUGCUAAAUUCAUUGAGACCCAUUUGUUAGUGUGGCUGAAAGUAACUUGAAACUGGAUCGAAAUUGCCUGAAGCUCAUUGGUAAUUUUAAGAAAGAUGGUGUAUGGGCCGUGAAAUUGAUUUGGGGAUGGGGUUAUAAAGUUAAUUGUGGGCUUAGCCCAUUAGAGAGGAAGAGCUUCAAAUUAAAAUGCAAGUGGCAUGGAAUUAGGCUCAGGAAAUGGCAGUUGGUUAAUUGGGAUCACUUUCCGUGUGAGAAGAAUGAAGAUUGGGGAAGUUCUUGGAGUCUAAAGGGUUGGAUGCAUGCAAAUGUAAUUAUUACAACGCAAUAGAAUUUCAAGGUAAAGCUGAAUAAAAUUUCUUCCAAGAAGGCAGGGGUAUGGUAGAGAGUUCAAGGUUUGUAGGUCGUAAGCACACCUUGAGGACAAUGUGUCUUCGAAGGGCGGAGUAAUGUAAGGACCCUAGAUAGAAAAAUAGUGGAUUAUUAGGAGAAAAUGAAAAUGGUUGUUAGUAAGGUCAUAUUAGUAAAUAGAUGGGUUAGGUCUUUUUGUUAUAAAUAGUAGGAGAGGGGUUGGGGAGAGGUGUGAAGAAUUUUGAGAAAGUUUUCCUUGUAAGGGAACCUUGGGAGAGUCUAACCCUCUCGAAAGGCUAGGGUUACUUGUUACUUGUUAUUAAGAUCUAAUAUAUAUUUCAUGUGUAGAUGUUUUUUAAGUAUUCUUGAGUUCAUCUUUUCUUCUUGAGGUAAUCCUUGUUAGGUGGGAUCCUAACAAAUUGGUAUCAGAGCCGUAACAUCUUGAGAAUGACACGGGCUUGGAUGCAAAAACAAAUGGAGGAGAGGAAUUGGAGAAGAAUAAGGACAUUAGGGAACUUAAAGAUGUAACUUUGGAGUUGUCCAAAAGCAUCGAAAGACUGGCAGAGGAAUUACGAGAAACCAAAGUUAGUUGCCAACGGGAAGAAUCUGCUACAUCGUAGGGAUCAGUGUUGAAAAUGAACGGAAAGAUGGAAGAUGACUCGACCGCAGUUGAGAGAGGAACUUGGGAGCAAGCACUUAAAUGGGCUGCUAAUUGCAAACUUGAGGUGGAUGAGAGGGGAGAAACUCCAUGGACAUGGGAGCAUAUGCAGAAAUGGAUUGUGGAUUGCAAGGCAGAAAGAAUACAGAGGAGUGCUAAAACAAUACAUCAAAAGCUUUCUGAAGGGCUGCAAAGAGAUAAAGAAAGAGCGGAGAAGAAACUAGAAGAAAUUAAAGUUUAAGUAUUCUUGAGUUCAUCUUUUCUUCUUGAGGUAAUCCUUAUUAGGUGGGAUCCUAACAAAAUGCACUUUUAAUAUCAAGCUGAUGUAAAAAAGUUGGAAACAAAUAUUGAACCUCUCCUCUCCUCUCACCCACCCUCUUCUCUCUUCAUUCCGGCCACACCUUCUCACGGUGACGUCGACGGCAACGCCAAACCCAGGGAGUUACAACUCCAUCUUUUUCAGAAAUGGAAGUCAAAAGUUGAAAAAUGGUAGACACUUUCUACUGUAUCUAGUUCGAAAAGGGGAGGUUCAAUAUUGAAGAUGUAGACUUCCAAAAAAUCCUCACUUUAUCCAAGAUCCAAUUAGAGUGGUUCAUUGAUUCAAUAGAUGUUCUUGUAAAAGAACCAAACUGGAAGUUUUUCAACAAAUAUGCGAGUGAUGAAACCGAAACAACAAAGCUAUCCAAAUUCUGAACCCCAUCUGAUUGGUUUCUGAGGUGUGUUGCUCGAAACUUCUCUGGAAUACAAUCCUUCAUCCAUCUACUCAUGAGAAACCAGACAAGGUUGGGUCUCCUUCCUCAACAUGAUCAGGUCCUUUUUAUUGACUCAUAAUUACACCUCCUUUUCAAAAAUAUCAAGCUGAUGUAAAGGCCAGUGACUGAUUGAAGUUAGUGAAAUAAACAACCUCACAAAUGUCAUUUUUACUACUCGAGAAAAAGUAUCAGCAUAGUUAACGCCAUGUUUGUGCGUAGCCUUUCACUACAAGGUGUACUUUUAAUUGAGCGACAAAACCAUCAGGAUUAACUUUAAUUGUAACCACCCAUUUGCAACUGAUAUACUUUUUUCGUGCAGGGAGAGAAACUAAAUCCCAAGUACAAUUAUCAUCUAAAGUAAUCAUCUCCUCCACCAUUGCAACACACCAACCAAGAUGAGAAUAGGCUUAAUGAUACAAACUCUAAUGAUGCAAUGAAAGAACAUGCAGAAGACAACUAAUGGUUAUAUGAAACAGAAGAGGAAAUAAGAUGAGCACACUUAAGUUUACCUUUACGAAGAGCAAUAGGAAGAUCAUCACUCAUUUCUGGAUCCAAUGACGAAGAAGCCUUAGGGGUAGGGCAUGGAAUUGAAGAAGGUUGUCGUCGAUCAUAGACUUCAGUGAUGGGUUGACAAAUAGAAGUAAACACACGUGAAGAUGAACCACAAAGAGGAUUAGAAGGAGAGAUAACAUUGUAGAUAAAGAAAUCAUCCUUUGACUCUUGAUACUCCCUCGACUCAUAUUCGAAGAGAAAGAAGGUGAGGAAUAAAAGGAGGAAUGUUCAAAGAACACGAGAAUAACCAAAAAGAUAUAUUUUAAGGUCUUUGGAUCCAACUUUGUAUGUUGAGGCCGAACGUCUUGGACAAAUCAAGUAUAACCAAUUAUUUUGGGUGGAAUGAGAAACAAAUGUUGUUUGGGGCAUAAGAUACAAAAAGGUAUCUCACCCUUAAAAAUGGAAGAGGGCAUGCAAUUUGUUAAGAAACGGGCUAUGGAAACAUCAGCCCAAAAAGAAAUUGGAAAAUUCAUUUGAAACAUUAGGACUAGUGGUUUAAAAAGGAUGACGAUUCUUUCAUUUUGCAAACCCACUGACUUCAUGAAAUUAAUAAAUAGAAGUGUGAAAGUAACAUAGACAUGAAUAUAUAAGCUAGAGCAAAGGCAUGACUACUAUACCUGACUACCAUUACAUAGCGCUAAAAGAAAUUGUAAUUUUCUUUUUCAUUCAAUAUGUAAUUUGACGUAAUAGUAAUAGUAAUUCCUCUUUCAAACAACCACUUUUUUUUUUCAACAAAGAGGACAAGGCUUAUGAUCCCUAAAUCGUUAGCAAUUAAGAUGCAGCAAAUAAGGUAGCUAAGAUGCAGAAAAUAAGAAAACACCCCAAAUCACUACAGUGCAUAAGAAAUCUAUCACAUAAGCACAAAGAUAAAUACUGAGAGUAUUAGUUGAAACUUAGCAAACACAAACAGGGCAAACUAUUAUUUAACGUGCUAGUUUAAAUAUAUAUCUAAACUAAACUACACAAGUAUUUCAAACUGGCAAAACUAAAAUUAGGUUUAUAGAAACAACGUGUCCUCAUCCUUUCUCCUAAGGAAUGCUAUUCAUUAUGAUUUUAUCUUUUGAGUUUUAAAAAUAUGCUAUUUAUUAUUCAUAUCUUUUCUCGUGCUAUCUAGAAGCUAACCAAACAACAUAGAGAAAGUACAUUUGUAUCACUAAUCAAUAUUUGAAAUGAUGACGCAGAUUAAAUAAUACAGAAUUCAGAAAGUAGAACUUGCCUGCUAGCUGACUUCAGCUGCUCCCUGAGUUCCUUGAACUUGAGGUUUCUCAUGUUCUCAACAGUGAAAACAAAAACUGAGUUGUAAUUUUCCACACCCUGCCUGAUCGAUUCCACCAUUGAUUUCUUGUGGUCCCUUCCUUUUCUUCUUUGUUUUUGAUAAAGUAACUGCAUUUAUCCCACGAACAAUUAGAUAGAAGACUUAAAACACUAAUCUGCAUAGGACUAAGUUCAUAUUUUUCCUCUUUAAAACACUAAUCUGCAUAGGACUAAGUUCACAUUUUCCCUCUUUCUUUUUAAGUUAAAAACCACAUGAGUUUGACAAUGAUUACUACCACCACAAGUCAUUUAACUUCUUCAACUGCCUCAUACUUUUCACAAGAAACUGCGUCAUACAAAUUAACCCAUAAUAAAGCUAUCCAAAUUCCGAACCCCAUCUGAUUGGUUUCUGAAAUCAGUAACUCUCAUGGAAGGAAAAACUUGGACAGACUGAUGCAGAAAUUGAGAAUGAAAGUUAGAAAAAGAUUAAUUGCUAUAGAAAAAAAUGAUUCUUGUACUAGAAUCGUUGUUCCCUGCCAUUCUCGAAACAGCCUGAAUAGUCAUGUUAAGAACACCGAGCCCUGCACUAAAGUUGAAAGAGGGGAAAAAACAGCAUGUUGAAACAAAUGAAGGUUAAACCAAAAGGAUUGAACUAUAGUUUCCAAAGUUUUCAUCUCUUAUAUUCACGUAAUAGUAAUAGUAAUAGUAAUUCCUCUUUCAAACAACCACUUUUGUUUCAACAAAGAGGACAAGGCUUAUGAUCCCUAAAUCGUUAGCAGUAUUGCUAUUUGGAGAAAAUGUUAAAGUUAAACAGCUGACAAUACCUUCCAGCCCCUACCACUACUAUCUUUUGGUUAACAAAAUCACUCAAUGGCCGCCCUUGAGCUCUCACAGUUCCCAAUAGUCCAACGAGAGCAACACCAGCAGUUCCCUUUAUGAAAUGAAAUAAACGAAAACGAAUGUCCUUUUAAGUAAUUAUCAACUGCAUUAAUACAUCAUCAACUACUCACUUGUAUGUCAUCGUUGAACAUGCAGAACCUCUUACGAUAACGUUGUAAUGUUUCAAAAGGCCAUUUCAUUUGAAAAUCCUCAAACUGGCAUCAUUCAAAAUCAAAUUACGAGAUUACGAUACUGAUUACUGGCAGUGAACACAGUUAAAAAUUUGAUAUCUUAACCAAUAAACCUGAACAAUAGCUUUAGGCCAACAUGUAUGCACGGCUUCCAUAAAAUCAUCAACAAUUGAUAGAUACUCUUCUCCCUCCAAUCUAGGUAUUCCUAUUCCCUGAACUCCAAGGUCACCGAGGCCAAGAAUACGACUUCCAUCUGUCAAGACAAUCAUGUCAACCUGUAGUUGGAAGAAGAAAAUACAAUGAACUUCAAAUAUGGUGUUGCUGGAAAUUAAAAGAGAUUUUCAUUUUUAUUUUGCUCAAAAUCAAUGCUCUUGAGCUUUUAAUGUCCCGAGGAAUGUGAAAGUUUCCCAAUAUAUCGUGUAUGGAAGUUUAAACUUUUCAAAGAAAACAAGGGUGAUCAACAUACAAAAGCCUCCUGUGGAUAGAAAAUUAAUCAAACAAAAAUUCGAUUGUUCUGUAGCAGUUUGACUUUGUUGUUAAGGAAAUUAAGAGUGAUAAGAAGGCGAGGGAGUGACUUUGAGUGGUGGCCAUUCGACAGCCAAGCAACUACACUCAAAGUUGAAGGUCGAAUAGGCAGCAGGAAGAAACGAAGAAGAAGAAGAAGAAAAGUUUUCGAUCUAUCAAACAUGAUCAUCAUACAAUAGACGAAAGUCAUUUAAAUUAUCCAAAUAUCUUUUGAAGUAAUUUUAACAUUUUCAAAAUAACUCUUAAUCAUGCUCUAAAUAUGGAAUGAAUUGUCUAUCCAACUACAAAUACAAAAGUUUUUCUAAAUCACUCUAACUAAUUAUACAAAUUCCACAACACAUAGAUCACAUGCUUCCCAAGAACCCAUAAAAUUGUUCAAUGCGGCAUUUCAUCAAACAGUUGGUGGAUGGAGACAACAAAAACAAGUGUUUAACAAAAUUAUCUUAGAAACAAACACAUUAAUAUUACCUGAAGAUGGAACUCCAAUUGAACAGCCUUGAAAAAGUGAUGGAGAAACAAACAGAACAUAAAGAUUGUGGGACUCCUCAACUCCAAUAAAUCCUGCAAUGGAAAAAUGGGUUAGAAGGUGGAAAAGCAUAGUAGAGGAUUAUGAUAAUGAAAAUGGGUAGUAAUGUUUUUCAGUAGCUAUCUUUUUCUUCUUUUUUUUUUCAUGUUGUUGAUGGUUGUUCUUGAUUGUCUUUUUUUUUUUUUUUUUUUCCUUUUUUGCAUUUGGGAAAAAACAGUUUGUUGACUAAGAGGUGAUGAUGCUGGUGAGGGAAUUUAUUAAAGUAAUGAAUACUUUUUGGAGGACUUAAACAAGUAAAAGGACGAAAUGAAGCAAGCUCAAGCAACAAAUUUUCUGUUAAGUAAGCAUAAAUAUUAACUAGAGGCUUAAAUAAAAUAUUUCACCACCACACACCACACACAACAACAAAAGAACCCAGAUAUAUCGUCAUUGACAACAGAAACAGAGCAAUAUAAGCAAAAUACAUUACAAGGAAAAUAUGGAGAUAAAAGACAUGAAGGUUUCCCUUUCACUUACAAAGAGGAUCAUUAAGUAACUUCUCGUUGUUAGAACCAAUAUCUAGCAUUACUCGAAGAAUCUGUCAAUUAAACAAGAGUAAACUUAAUGAAAAAGUGUGGUUAAGAAAAGUUGCUAAAAAAUGUCACCAUUAAAUGAUAUUAGUAUUCUUAGAUAAUCUACAAAUUUCAUGAAGAAAAGACUGCAGACUUGAGAGUUACCCCCACUAUCAGGAAUACUUGCUGAAACGGGAAAAAGAUAUCGGCAAAUUCUAAAUACGGCACACUAAAACUCUCACUCUCCUGGUUCUUGCUUAAAAUCACAUGUACAUGUCAAUGCUGAUAGUGCCUCUUCCACUGAAACAAACAAAAUUUCAGUACCAAUUAAGAUGCAAAAAUAAGGUAUUUAAGAUGCAGAAAAUAAGGUAGUUAAGAUGCAGAAAAUAAGGAAACACCCCACAUCACUACAGUGCAUAACAAAUCUAUCACAUAAGCACAAAGAUAAAUACUGAGAGUAUUAGUUGAAACUUAGCAAACACAAAAAGGACAUAAGCUUAUUCUCAAAUUUCAGUACAUAUACUCAUCAAAAUUCAGAAUCUCACGUCACAAACCCGAGCUUAGUGCUCAAGGGUUGACAGUCAUGCCUUUUAUGCAAGAUCUAAGAAGCUAUGAUGCUCAUUAUUGUAAUGAAAAACUUUUGAAAAAUUUUGAAAUUUGGACAAAAUUUGAAAUCCCCAAGGUUAGACUAAACAAGUGAGCUAUUAUCCACCCUUCACUUAAAACAUUGCUUGGAAGUAGCCCAACAUGAGAAGAUAAAACAAUCUGAAUGGCAGGCGAUCCUAUAAACUAUUAAAACAAUAGCCACAACUGAUGAAAAUCAAGUUGGAUAAACAACCAUUUGAUGAAGGGAGGAUGUUGAGCUUGUCUAAGAAAAACAUACUCUUUGAGGGUUUAUGGCAGCAACAACAACAUACAUGUCCAGCUUUCCUGUAGGUAUUCCUAUUCCCUAAACUCCAAGGUCACGGAGGCCAAGAAUACGACUUCCAUCUGUCAAGACAAUCAUGUCAACCUGUAGUUGGAAGAAGAAAAUACAAUGAACUUCAAAAAUAUAUAUAUAUCUAUAAAGCAUAACAAUUAUCCCACUGCUGAAAGAAAUAAUAUUUGUUAUGCUAUGUAUAUAAUUCACAAAUUAAUAGACCAUCAUCUCAAUGUACAAAUUGUGUGAAGCUAAGGUCUCUGAUACAACUUAAAGAGGAUUGAAGAAGAGUACCAGAAGUUUUUCAUUAGCCAUCAAUCCAGGAAAUAAAUGAAGCAUCAAGCUUGUCUAAUAAACUGAACUGGGUCCUCAAUAUGUAACACAAAUUACACAAAAAUCUAGGGAGGGGGGCUAUGAUUUACAUACGUAAAAUACUUAGAGGUUUGAAAAUAACUUAUUGCAUUCACUAUACACCGAGUAAGAAGAGAACGAAGGCGACGGGAGAAAGGAAAGGGGAUAAGGAAAAGAGGAGAACAGAAAGAGAACAACGACAAGAGGAACCAAUUUAUUUUGGGGAAAGAGGUAUUUUAGGAAUUUUCAUUUUUAUUGAGGGACCGACUGUGAUUUUAACUAAACGGGAUAGUUGCAAAUUUAGCAAUUAACUAAAAGAGGAUAAAGAAGAUAAUAAACAUAAAACUGGAGAGUAUCAUUUCCUAAACCAUUCAACAUGUAGCUAAUAGAGUGGCACACCGGUAAGAGAAAUAAUCUUUGAUAUUCUAGAAGUAUAAAUAAAAUUGAAAACUAAGAAUGCUCAGUUUUACCUUGACCGUGCAAAUGGUCUAUCUUUCUCGAGUUCUAACUCCAUAAGUUCAACUUCUGCUUUUUGGUUUUUAGCUAAGCCCUUGCCCCAUUCCAACUUUAUCUCAUGUGACCGGAAGACCAGCAUCACAAGCAGCCACAGUGGGAUUUGAUAAAAACAUUGAUAAGAACUAUAUCUCCUGAGAAGUAUAUAGUCUAAAGUGGAAUUUUAAUUUAAAUCAUAACUCUUGAAUACCACCCUAAGACUUCAAUACUAUACUUUAAUUCAACCAACCACUAAUAAACAUAGAACAAGAAAUUGGAACAAGUCUGAAUUAUUAAUAUCACAAAGCCUGAAUGUUAGAAUUAUCAAUAUGAAUAAAGAUGAAACAAGUCUAAACUCAAGAUAGAUAGUUUUUAGAAGCUUUAAAUUGGUAGCUUUUCAACAUAGUCAACAAAACAUGAAGCAUACCCAAAGAAUACUUUAAUUAGCUUUAUGCAUAAAGUAGCUAAAAAGUAAGAGAAAGCUUCAUGCUAUUAAAUUAAUUGGAAACAGCAACAACAGAAAAUCAGCUUGAUUAAACAAGUGCUUAAUAAUCUUUUCAUUGAGCCAAACAAGCUGAACCACACCAUUCAUCCGAUCUAGUCAAAAGCAAACAACCCAAAUGCUGAAUUUCAUAUUGAUUCCUCCCAACAUGUAUAUAUAUCGAAACAUGAAACCAAAACUUCCCAAUUUUGCAUAGGCCUAAAAAAGACAUGAAUUUAAGAUAAUUAGAAAAGUUAUCUAGGGUACCCAAAAGAUCGCUGGUUUUUUUAAUAUUAUUAUUAUUGGAAAACUUAACUACCUGCAAGAGGAACCUCUUCAAUAGGAAGUUCUGCACCAAGAUCACCUCUGGCAACCAUUGCCUAAAAUGAAAAGAAAUAAUGUUCUUCAAUUAGCAACCAAGCCCCAGACUAUCAACAAAAUUGAAAACCUUUUAAUGAAAUUCAACAUUAACGAAGCUGUGAAAAAAUUCAAACAAUCACCCCAUCAGAAGCUGUAAUAAUUGAAUGCAAAUUUGGUAUGGAGUAUACACUUUCUAUUUUUACAAUCACAUGAAUAGCAGCAUCACAGCCUGCAGAGUCGGAUAUUAAAAAUUCAAACCCAUAAAGUCUAACUAACUAAACACAAUUAGAUUUCUAGUAGCAGUAAUUUAACACAGAAACAGAAAUUAAACAUUAGAACAUUAUUGCAUGGCAUUUCUAUAAAUUUAUCACAUGUUCUUUCUUCUUCUUUUUUUUCUUUCCUUUUUUGAUAUAACUCUAACCAUGUAGUUAAGCUUCUCCCUGUAGCAGUUAAUUAAAAUAGAGACAGAAACUAUAGAUUAACAAACAAUUGGAAGGCCUCUCGAUCAAUUUAUAUAAUAAUAAGUUCAUACUUGUGUCUUUUUGGAAGUAUGAAAAACGAGAAAUCACUAUUUUCCCUAAACGAGAAACCUCUUCGUUCCGUUUUUGUUGAUUAUUCAUCCUUGUUCUUCACAGGAAAUUCUCUCAAUUUUCUUCAAAGGAAGGAUCAAGUUCUCUCCUACAAAGGGUAUGUUUCUAAUUUUCCUAACUUUAUGACAUAAUAUGGCAGUGUUGUAUAAUGCAAAUCUACAAUAGAAGAAACACCAUUUACAGCAGAGCCAAGAAAAAUGAAGAUUAAAUAUAAUGUACUGCAAUAAAAUUAAAAUACUAAAGAAUGUGUUAGGAUGUGCUUUCUCAAUCUACAUCCUAAACCCCUAAACCCAUAAACCUCUAAACCCAACAUCCUGAUGUGCUUUUUCAAUCUACAUCGUUCUCAAAGAAACAUCCUGAUGUGCUUUCUUAAUCUACAUCCUUCUCAAAGAAAUGAAUUGAAAAAUCUCUAAAAGUUUCCUCAUCAAACAAUAUCAUCCAACAAUGUUUAAGAAGGAUAGUAAAAGGGAAGAAGAAUGAUGUAAUGGUGUUUAAAGAGGAUAGUAAAACGGAACAAAUAGUGAUUUGCCUAAUUCUUCAAAAAAAACAUUAAGUUUUGAGUUGUGGCAAUAUGAACUAGGAUCUCCUUUACAAUUGUGCUCUAAAGAUAUUGAAGACAAUUUAUAGAAUAAAUCAAACUUAUUAAUGAUAAUAAUAGAAUUAGUAAUGACGAAAUUACAUAUCCUUUAAAAUUUUUUGUUAAGUGAAAAUUAUGAGGUUUCUUUCCGCUUUUGUGUGUUCUCAUGUUUAAUUGUACUUUAUCGUACCAAUUUAGAAUUUUAAAAUGUUUUUAAUUCACUAUUUGAGGCUUCAUCUUGCCUCUUCAAGUCAAAAUACCUCACGGCCAGCCUUUGUUGAGUUAUUUUCUAUUGAAUAAUAGAUUGUGUUUUCUUUUUUGGUCAAGAGACCAAAGUAGAUUAGUUACAAUUAGAAACAAAAAGGUGGAUUUCGAUUUCCCAUAAUAAACAAUAAGAGUGGAUCACCCAACAAGUCAUAAACCUACUAUCAUUUAUGUUCCACUUGAUCCAAACAUAACAAACAAAAAUGAAAGGUUUGGACUUACUUGAGAAUUAGUGUUGAAAAAAGAUAGUUGUAUGACCUUGUUAGCAUAUGAGUAACAACUUGAAAAUGCAUCAAGAAUCUACAAAAUUAUUUAACAUUAGUAGUUAAGAUGCAGAAAAUAAGGAAACACCCCACAUCACUACAGCGGAUAACAAAUCUGCCACAUAAGCACAAAGAUAUAAAUACUGAGAGUAUUAUUUGAAACUUAGCAAACACAAACAGGACACUGAUUUGGAGCUAUGCCUGAGGGAAAAAUAAAUCAUGAACACUGAUUUCAACUCCAAGAUGCUUCUAAAAGGCUUGUCUUACACCGAUUGAGGCAAGUCCUUUCUAAACUUUCUCUUUCUUGUAUCUUUUUCAAAAAACGCUCUGUCUCAUUUGCACUUAUUUCUCUCUUCUUCUUCCACGCUUAAUGAAGAAAACCCUUAAUGAAGAAAAAAAUAAGAAAUCAACCCUAAACCCCUCAACCCAACAUCCUGGUGUGCUUUCUCAAUCUACAUCCUUCUCAAAGAAACAUACUGAUGUGCUUUCUUAAUCUACAUCCUUCUCAAAGAAAUGAAUUGAAAAAUCUCUUCUCACAGAAAUGAAUUGAAAAAUCUCUAAAAGUUUCCUCAUCAAACAAUACCAUGCAACAAUGUUUAAAAAGGAUAGUAAAAAGGAAGAACAAUGACGUAAUGGUGCUUAAAGAGAAUGGUAAAAAGGAACAAAGAUGGUAAGGAGAAAUUUAUUUUCAACUUAAUCAUGAAGAACAGUUCAACAAAAAAUAAAUAAUAAAAUAAAGGCACUUGGGAAAGCAACAAACCUGCUUCUGUAACUCAAGAAGCUGCCGCUCUUUCUCAUGAAUGUGUUCUUCAAGUUCAUGCAAAUGUUUUAUUUGCUGAGCUCUUUCAGCUUCAGAAUGAUCAUGUUCUCUCCUACAAAUGAUAUGUUUCUAAUUUUCAUAACUCAAUGACUUAAUAUGGCAGUCUUGUAUAAUACAAAUCCAUAAUAGAAGAAACACCACUUACAGCAGAGCCAAGAAAAAUGAAGAUUGUAUGUAAUGUACAGCAAUAAAAUUAAAAUACCAGAGAAUGUGUUAGGGUGUAGAGCAAAUCAUCUUCACUGCAAUUAUUCGGGAGGUUCUGUAAAGAUAAUUCCAAUACCAGAACCUUCUUACCUCAUAUAUAGUCCUUUCAUCCAACUCUGUCAACUUUGCUCUUUCCGUUUCCUGCACAUCAAAUAAGCUUCAAUUUCAACCAAACUCGUAAAGGUUACAACUCUCAGGUGAUGCUAAUUGAACGGAAGUUUAGAAACUGGGACAGGGUAUGAGCUAACUUCAUUAUGCUCAAGCAACAAAUUUUAUGUUAUGUAAGCAUAAAUAUUAACUAGAGGCUUAAAUAAAAUAUUUCACCACCACCACCACAACAACAAAAAGCCCAGAUAUAUCGCCAUUGACAACAGAAACAGAGCAAUAUAAGCACAAUACAUUACAAGGAAAAUAUGGAGAAUAAAAGACAUGAAGGUUUCCCUUUCACUUACAAAGAGGAUCAUUAAGUAACUUCUCGUUGUUAGAACCAAUAUCUAGCAUUACUGGAAGAAUCUGUCAAUUAAACAAGAGUAAACUUAAUGAAAUUCAGAAAGUGGGGUUAAGAAAAGUUGCUAAAAAAAUGUCACCAUUAAAUGAUAUUAGUAUUCUUAGAUAGUCAACAAAUUUCAUGAAGAAAAGACAACAGACUUGAGAGUUACCCCCACUAUCAGGAAUACUUGCUUGAACGGGAAAAAGAUAUCAGCAAAUUCUAAACACGGCACAGUAAACUCUCACUCUCCUGGUUCUUGCUUAAAAUCACAUGUACAUGUCAUUGCCGAUAGUGCCUCUUUCACUGAAAUAAACAAAAUUUCAGUACCAAUUAAGAUGCAGAAAAUAAGGUAUUUAAGAUGCAGAAAAUAAGGUAGUUAAGAUGCAGAAAAUAAGGUAGUUAAGAUGCAGAAAAUAAGGAAACACCCCACAUCACUACAGUGCAUAACAAAUCUAUCACAUAAGCACAAAGAUAAUAUACUGAGAGUAUUAGUUGAAAGUUAGCAAACACAAAAAGGACAUAAGCUUAUUCUCAAAUUUCAGUACAUAUACUCGUCAAAAUUCAGAAUCACACGUCACAAACCCAAGCUUAGUGCUCAAGGGUUGACAGUCAUGCCUUUUAUGCAAGAUCUAAGAAGCUAUGAUGCUCAUUAUUGUAAUGAAAAACUUUUGAAAAAUUUUGAAAUUUGAGCAAAAUUUGAAAUCACCCAAGUUUAGACUAAACAAGCGAGCUAUUAUCCACCCUUCGCUUAAAAAAUUGUUUGGAAGUUACCCAACAUGAGAAGAUAAAACAAUCUGAAUGCAGGCAAUCCUAUAAACAAUUAAAACAAUAGCCACAACUGAUUGAAAUCAAGUUGGAUAAACAACCAUUUGAUGAAGGGAGGGUGUUGAGCUUGUCUAAGAAAAACAUACUCUUUGAGGGUUUAUGCCAGCAGCAGCAACAUACAUAUCCAGCUUUCCUAUAGGUAUUCCUAUUCCCUGAACUCCAAGGUCACCAAGGCCAAGAAUACGACUUCCAUCUGUCAAGACAAUCAUGUCAACCUGUAGUUUGAAGAAGAAAAUACAAUGAACUUCAAAUAUAUAUAUAUAUCUACAAAGCAUAACAAUUAUCCCAUAGCUGACUAUUUUAGGAAUAAUCAUUAAGGAUAUAGCAACAUUUUAAAAAAAAAUGCAAAUAUAGCAAAACUAUCCCGAUAGACCAAUAUUUGCAACAUGAUCUAUCAAGGAUAGAUUUCUAUCAUUUAUAGAAUUUGACAAAUUUUGCUAUGUUUGCAAUUUUUUUAAAUGUUAUAUACUCAAUUAUUUUGAAUCUAAUUGCUAAAUUUGCAACUACGUGUUUUUUUUUAAUAUAUAUUUUAGGUUUGUUCUUCUUGUUUUUUUUCUUUACAUCAUCUUUUCCUCUUCUUCUUCUGUAGUUUUUUUUUCCAACUGUUAUUUAAUUGUUCCAAAUAUAGAAGGUCGUGCAAAAAGAUAGUGAAAAAAAAUUAAAUAUUGAAUCGAUCAUGUACAAAGAAAUUUGAAAAAAAUUGCAAAUCUAAAUGUACAUACAAUAGCCAAAUCUAAACCAAACAAUCUUGGAUCAAAUAUAAACGAUCAUAUACGAAGAAUAACCAAAUAAUAGCCAAAUCUAAAUAAUAGUUUUAGAAAUAUACUACGGUCACUUGAUAUUAUUUAAUCACAAGACCUUUUUGGUAUUUUUUAUUGUGGAUGGGUAAACUUUUCCGUUUUCAAAAUUAUUUUAUAGCAUGUAAAUAUUUAUUUCUUUGUUAUAUUUUUAAAUUUUUGCAAUAUGCAUGUUUAUGUAUUAUUUUAGUUUCAAUAUCUUUAAUAUAUGAUCUGAUAUCUAGUAGAAUUUCUUUACCGAAAACCAAGUAGAAUUUAACCAUUUUCCCACUAAAACAUUUAGCAUGACUUUAAUAUUUUCCAACCAUGAUAUUUACAUAAUUACAUAAUUAAAUUGAAUUCAACAAUUAAAUUGAAUUCGACUCAACAUUAUUUAAGACAAAUAACUUGAGUUGGGAUAACAAUGUCAAGACAAAUAACUUGAGUUGGGAUAACAAUGUCGAUCCAAUUUGAAGAACAUAUAAAUGAUAUAAUAUAAGUCUAUUAUUCUAUUUUAGAUGUCCUAAAAUUCAUAUGAUGACAUAAUCUUUUGAUAAAAUACUUUUUAUGUUCAAUGUGGAACAUAUAUAUUAUUGUUGCAAAAAAACAAGAAACAGGAAAUAUGAAAGUUAUCCUUACACAGUCUUACUUUUAUUUUCAAAAGAAACAGAAAAUGAAAAACAGAGAAGAAACAAAGACAAAAAUAAAUAGAAACGUUAUCAAACAGACUCUUAUUAAACUGAAAAACAAACACUUGUUCAAUAACUAUUUUGUCUCCAAUUUUCUUACCAUAAUUUCACAUCACAAACAAAAACAAGUUUUUAAAAACAACUUUCUUAAUUCUCAAAUUGGAUUAUGAAAACAUUUUUAAAAAGAUGUUUUAAGGUAUUGUCUAUAUAUAUGAUUAGCAAACAAAGCCUCAAGGAUUAUUUUUCUAACUAAAAAAGAAUACGAAAAUUUAAAGGAUCAAUACACCAAGUUCAUUAUACUUUCACAUCACACAUUCUCAAUAGAGGCUACAUCCAUAUAUUUGGAAAGAUGUAUAUUUUUAUUUCCUUUGAAUAUUUACAUCCUUAAUUUAAAGAUUUCGUGGUGAGGGGUUUGAUUUUCUCAAAGUAACAUUCCUUUUUGUUUGUAUUUAAUAUAAAUGACCCAAAUACUCAGAUAAUGGAAUGCCCUUUGAACUCGUUCCCGCACAAUACAGUUAGUGAUAAGGUUACUUACUUUCAGGAAGCUUUUCAAGCAACUUGGGUAUAACCUCAAACAGAUCCCCAACGACUCCAUAGUCAGCAACCUGCAUAUUAGAGACAAUUAAUUCAUUGGAAUGUAAAAACAGCGGUCAGACCAACCUCGGAUACAUUUAUAUGAAAUCUAACAAUGCAUAAACUUACACUACGUUUUGAAAUACUUAUAAUCUAGUCGUACUGAUUCGGAAUAAAUAAGAGGAUGUUGAAUUUGAACACGACAAGACUAAGACUGAUUUUACCACUUCAAACAUGACCUUAAGCAUCCAAGUUCGCCCUGUGGCCUAAACUAACAGUGAUUUUUUUCCUUUUUCUGUGUGUGUGUUUUAGGGGAGGGGGAGCUGACCUUAAAAAUUGGUGCAUCUGCAUCUUUAUUCACAGCCACAAUAACCUUAGAAUCUCUGAUUCCUGCCAAAUGUUGAAUGGCUCCUGAUACACCAAAAGCCAUAUAUAGUUUUGGUGCUACAAUUUUACCAGUUUGUCCAACCUGAUAUACACAAGAGUUUUAACUAGGAAUCAUCGAAGAAAUUUGCACUCGAUAAAAGAAUAAAAAACUAUGGAUAAAUUCAACCCACGUUAAUAUGUGUUAUGGCACUAUCCAUAUAAAAUAUUUGCACAUACCAAGUAUAUUUUCCACAAAAAGAAUUACAAAGGAAAAGAAAGGGCAAGAGAGAAGGAAUUGGACAAUUUUUUUGUUUUAGUUUUUUUUUUUUAAUUUUAUUUCUCUUUGAACUUCUGGUGGGUGGGGUGAUCUAAAAGUUCACCUUCCCUUCAGUCAAGUUCCAGUGAAAUGCCUAACUUAGUAACUUCAAUGUUCACUUUUAAUUUGGAUUAGGUACACUAACUUUUUUCUAUAUCCGUGAGUAUCCAAGCUCACGUACUAUGACUAAUCUAACAAGACAACCUGUAUGAUCCUACAAUAUUUUGGUGUCAAAAAAACUCAUAGGAAAUUAAUUCCAAAAUAGCUGAUCACCGUAGAUUGAAUCCAUGACAUUUUGCCAAUUUAUUGAGACUUUGUCUCCUUUUUCAUUAUAGACCAACCCAUGAUGGUUAAUUUGGAUUAGGCAAACUACAAUUACAAAAUUCAGAUGUAAUAAUACUCUCAACUUGGAAGGAAAAGCACCAAGAAGGCAAUUACCUGAAGGUCAUUGGGAACAAAUCCAGCAUCAACAGCAGCACGUGUGGCACCAACUAAACAAAUAAGAGAAGAAACAUCAAAUUAGGUUAUAGGAUUAGAGAAUGAAGAAAGCAACAUAUUCAUUAUUUGUGUGUUGACAAAAUUGAUUACUUUGAUACUGUAGAAUAAAUAGAAAACAGUACUCUAUGCAAAGUGUUUUGAGAUCUAAUGUUUUCUGUUCUCAUUAAUAGGCUCCGUGUGCCCCCAAGUUCCAUGAUAUUUUUAGGAAAUUUGACAAUCAAUAUUUUAUAACCAGAGAAAAAAUUAAAAUAAAUGAUGAAGGCGAUGCAGAAGGAAAAACAACUUGAAGUUCAAUUCAAAAAUUCAAACUGAAUCAACCUGCAGCACCAAGUUUCUCGGCAAGCUUCUCAAUCAUUUUGAAGUUCUCAGCGGUUUUCAAACCACGUCCUCCAGUGACAACAACACGUGCAUUUGCAAGAUCAGGACGUUCUGCUUCCGGAGAUGUUUGCUUUACGUAUCUAGAUUUUCCAAUAGAAUCUGAAAGAUUGAUAUCACUCAUUAGACCUAAACCAAGUAUCACUCAUUAGACCUAAUUACAUGUCCUAAUCCUUUGGCAGGCCACUAAAGUAAUAUAACAGAAAUUAAAAUGAUCCAGAGAAGUACUAUGGAAAGUGUUCCCUUAAUAGGAUGGAACAAUCAUCAAAACUAACUUGGGUUAAUCAAAUAAGCAGAAGCAUUCAAUUCUUGAUGUUAUUAUGGCUUCCUUUUUCUAGAGUGUGGAGAAUUAUUGGAGAUGGAAAAGUAGGCUGUAGGCUUACCUCCACCAAGCAUUGAGAGAUCAACCUGAGAUAUAGCGGACUUAUUUGAUGCCAACUCAACAGAUCUUGCAGGCACUGGGAAUGAUGUAGAUCUUAUGGUCAACAUACAAGGGUCAGCUCCUGUGUAUCUAACUGUACAAAGCGCAUUGCCAGCAUAUAUGGGCCUAUUAUGAGUUCCAAAUUGUAUUGUCAGUCAUCCUUCUUCUUUUGUAAGGAAAAAAACUAUUGCACAUCAAUUUAGAAUGUACUUAACUAAAAAUUAGGACAUGGACAAUUUAAGUGCUCCAUCAUAGUCACAAGACGAAAUUGGCAUACAAAAAAAUGCAAACUGAGGUUCGAAAAUAAAAAAAAAAACAAAACAAAACAUGGAAAUUGGAAUGUUGAAAAACAAGGAUUAGAGAAUUUAAGUAUUUCUCCACUGAAUGAAGUUCUCCACCAUAAACAACAUCAGCAGUGAAAAUUAUGUUUUUCUACAUACACAAGGAAGGUUAAAUUAGUGGGAAACACAUUUGUUAGGAUUAAUGUAGACUGUAGGUACUUAAAACAGUUCACAAAGUUGCAUAAAUGUCAAUAUAAUCAAGGAUUUAAGUCUAAAAAACAGGAUAAACCUCACAAAUUGUCGAGAUUCAGAUAUAGCUACGACAUCCGUAACCGGAGAAACAUCUAAAAGAGCGGCAGCGCGUGGAAGAAUGUUUUUCCCAAAAGAACCUGAAGCCGCAAUUACAUGAGAAAACCCAUUCUUCUGUUGAACCAAUUGGACUAACUGAGCCCAAGGUUCUGCCAAGGGGUAUGUAAAUUUAUCAGAAUCAGCAACAAGCACCUAAAUAACAUUUAACCUCCGAUAUCAGUAAUAAGGAAACGACGAAGAACACAGAUCACUCUAAUUACUCUAUCUUGAUUCUAAAAAGAUGGCAUAGGACGAAGGUUAUAACUCAUCAAAUGUUCGAAUGAGAAUAGAACAAAGCAACAACCACCAUAAAAUUCCUGGAAUUUGGACUAAUUCUAGGAGGUAAUGCAUAAAAAAAAAAAAAAAAAAAAAAGAAUAUGUGAAGAAAAAAUGUUGGGCGGUCGAAUCUCCAUGUAAAAGGCGAUAGAUAGAGAGUAAAUGAUAAUACCUGAGAAAUAGAUGGGUGGCAAGAGGCAGCAUGUUGAGCAGCUUGAUGAAGCGAAGGCCCAGAGCCCGCCAAGAGGAGGGAAAUGGAAGUGUGAGUGCUCAAGGAAGCGGCAGCCGCUAUAGCGCUAAGGGAAGCGGCAGCCGCUAUAGCGCUAAGGGAAGCGGCAUUGAUGGAACCGGAAUCGUGUUCCGCCAAAACCAAGGUGGUGACCUACAAUUCCAUAGCAAAAUGUUGGAGAGAAAUGAAAAAUGAUGAAACGGAAAUGAAAGAAAGGAGAGAAGAGCAUACAGAUCGACAAGGUGAGGAGGAGAAGAGGGGAGCAAUUGGGAGGAAGAGGAUGGAAGAAUGGAUGUCUUGAAAGCAGUGAAUAGAGUUCGAGCAAUCAUGUUGAUGGAUGAGGGAUACUCUCUCCUCUCUCUGAAAUGAAUAAUAAUAGUGUUUAGAAGAAGAGGGUGGGCGGAGGAGAGAAUGGUUCAAUGGAGGUUUGAAAGAGGAAUGCGGCACUGCUCCAUCCAGCGAUUAAAAGUUUCUCUAAUUUGAUUUUGUUACCCAUAGUGUUUAUCAGAUCCACUAGGUGGGAAUACCUUAUAACAAUUUCCUUCCCCCCAACACAAACCCUCCCGAGUUUCUUUUUAAGAAUUUUUAGACAACAUAAUUAAAUUUAAACCACAUUUCAACAAUUGGUUACUUCUCUUUUCUAUUAUUUGUGAUUUAUUCAUCAUCUAUUUCACAUUUUUUCAGUUCAUUUUUUUUUUAAUCUUCUUUUUCUUUCUUUCUUCAUCUUCUCUUUCUUUCUUACAAGUACUCCUCUUCCACAAUGUCAACAUCAUUUAAAUAUCACUUUGACAUGAUCUAAACGAUCACUUACUUAUUCAACACAAGCGUUUAACAUGGUCAACACAACCGUUUAGAUUAGAAAAUUUUUUCCAUCGUUAAAAAUAACUACAGGAUCGUGUAUACUUGCAUAAUCGCGUAUCAUGAUCCUUUCAAGUGCGUGUGUGGUCGAUGUUGAUACUACCUACACAAUCGUGUAUAAUUUCUUACACAAUCGCGUAUCAUGAUUGUUUAAAAGAAAAAUUACACACACUGCGUGUGGCCGAUUAAUUGCGUGUUGACUUGGACAUUUUUGGUAUAACUCAUUGUGAGCAUGUGUGGGCUUUUUUUUUGUUUUCAAAAUUGUUCUAUAUAGUGUAAAUUUUUCGUCGAUUUAUUAUAUUUAAAAAAAAAAUCCAUUUAUUUAUGAAUAUAAUUUAUGUUUACAAAAUUGAUUAAAUUGCAAUUUAGUUUCUAUCGUUUGAAGAAAGUUGGAGUUUAACCUAUAGUUUUGAUAAAACCUCAUAUAUCAUCUUUAUGAUUUGAAAACCUUCAUAAAUAGUCCAUACAAGCGACACUACUUUAUAUGAUUUAUCAAACCAAAAUGACUAAAUUUUAGUAAACUAUAAAGACUAAAUUCUAUUAUUUUAAAAUUAUGAGGACCAAAUUUGUAAUUUAACCUAAAAAGUUAUAUAAUUAUUAUUUUAUAUUGUUAUAACGUAUAAUACAUUAGAUAAUGCAUAUUAUUAUUGAAAAAAUGAAUUGAGUUUAUAACCCAACAUAUAUUCUAAUAAAUGACUACUAUAUGAUAGAUCAUGAAAUCACAUCGCACACCCUAAAUCCGGUACACCUAAACAAAAUUAAAGUAAUAAGAGAUGUUACGUAGGGACAAAUUUAAAAUGAUUUUUGGGCUCAGAAUGUACUAUUUAAGUUGUACUUCAUGGUUUAAUCUUACUAAUAACUGAUUAUUGAUUUUUCAUAGACGGGUUGUUAAUCAUGGUUUGAACAAUUUGUGGUCAUUUUCACAAUCUAGCAUGUGUUAAGUUUAAUUGGUGGUUCACUAGAGUGGAAACUUCCUUUGGUACAACAUAGUAGAUUGAAUACACUGCACGACAUGUUUACACUGUUUACCUCUCUAAAGAAUUAUGUUUAAAAAAAUGCUAAAUUGAAUUGGACAUUUAGUUUAGCAUGCAUCAAAGCAGAAUCUAAGUGCUGAGAAGGCUAAGGGACAUCAUGAUUUCAUUACAACAGCAUAGGACGUCUUACAACCUAGGAAUAGAAAAAGUUGACUCACUUUAGGGAUAAAGAAUUUUUCAAUAAAAUGCAUGCAUGAAUUAGUUAACUAUGGAAAGUGGAAGUUAAGCACUGGGAGCCAAGUCAAAUGAUCCAAAGGAUUAUUAUACAGAGAUACAUUCUGACCAAGUUAUGUUAGUCAUGAUUGAUGUGAUCUCAUUAGCUGUUUUGCAUUGCUAGGAAUGUUGAGGCACUACUACCCUUACAAGUUUGGGUUAUCCUUGAAACACACUCAUCACCAAAAUUGGUGUUUUGCAAAAUAAUUUCAAACUACUCCUUGUGGAGCUUCGACACUUGGGAAUAUCUAGGAAUUAUCACUUCUUCACCGUGUAUACUUGCAUUUAGACCUUCCUCACUUAUCAUAUCUUCAUUUAUACACAAAAGGGAAAUCAAAUGUUACUCUUGUCAGACAAACAUCAUGAUUGUCAACGACCAACCAUUAUCAUCAUUAAUGAUCGAUUGUCGUACCUAUUCACAAACGAUAUUAAUGAUGGUCAAUGACCAAAUGUCAUGACUUUUGAUGAUUGAUUUUCAUGACAGUUGACUACCAACCAAUCAUCUCUAUAGUUGGUGAUCAUUGACAAUCUUCACCAUCAACAAACGAUCAUUGACCGUCUUUACCAUCAAUCGGUGACCAUUGAUCGUCUUUACAUCGGCAGGUGGUCGUCUUGAUCAUUGAUAUCGAUGCUUGAUCGUCAUGACUACUAACAAUUGAUUGUUAAUAUCAAAUUUUUUACUAGAAAAAUAAAAUUACAAAGUAUAAAUAUAUACUUAAUCCAUAAAAGAAACUGCUGCAACUAAUGAGUGGCAUAUACGAUAUAAUAUUUUUUAAAACGUUGGCAAUCAAAUACUCCAAUAAUUUUUUUUCACGAUCUUAAAAAACUAAAUAACAGUUUGAAAAAAUAGCAUGAUCUUGAGCCAAAUAACAAUUUGAAAAAAAAAAUUACAGAUGAAGAGAAAAAGACGAUGAGAAGGAAAAAAAAUUGCAGAAGAAAGAUAUGAAAAAGAAUGGCAAAUGGAAAUAUUUAAAAAAAUUGCAGAAGAAGAUAAAAAGACGAUGAAAAUAAAAAAUAUCGCAGAAGAGAAGAAAAGAAAGACGAUGAUAAGAAAGGGUAAACCCAUAAUUUUUUUUUAAAGAAAAUGAUCGGUGUUGUGGAUCUUUUCAUUUUGUUACAUGGACCGUAAAUAUUUUACUGGUUUAUUAUUUUUAUGAAACUUAACGUUUUAUAAUUCUAAUAAUCAUUAUAUAUUAUUAUUAUUUUAGUCCCCAUGCCUAAUAGAUAGUAGCGGCAUGUGAAAGUGUAGAGAUAUUGACAAACCUAUAUUUACCUAUCUCUCCACUCCUUCCAAAACUUGGGUGUCCCAUGGACAAGUAGUCCUUAGUUCAAAUCUAUAUAGAAAAAGAAUAAUUAUUAGAAUUAUAAAAUAUAUUAAAUAAUAAUUAUUAUUAAUUUCCAAUUAAAACAUCAAUUAUAAAUCAAUACAAUGAUAGUCAUUCCCCACACAAAUUAAUACAAAUACCUCUAUUUAGUAAUAUAACAAAUGUAAACGAUCUUGUACAAAAAAUAAUAACCAAAUAUAAAUGAUAGUGUAUAAAAAAAUCUUGAAAAUAAAUUGUUGAGAUUUGGCUACCCAAAUUUAAACGAUUAAAUUAAACGACCGUGUACCAAAUAUAAACGAUCGCGUACCAAAAAAAUCUUGAAAAAAAUCGUUUAAAUUUGACCCAAAUCUAAAUUAUCGUAUAGGGAAAAAUAGUCAAAUCUAAAUUUUUGUUUCCCAAAUAUAUUAGGCGAGUUGGAUGUCAAUCAAUCACGGGACAUUUUUUGGUAUUUUCCAUUGUAGGCCCGUGAGUUUUUUUUGUUUUCGAAAUUGUUGUAUGUCGUGUAAAUAUUUUGUCGCUUUGUUAUAUUUUUUAAAAGAUCUCAUUAUAAAACGUAUUGAAUAAUUAUUAUUAUUAAUUUUCAAUUGAAACAUCAAUUAUAAAUCAGUACAAUAAUAGUCCAUUUGCAACAAUUUAUUGUGACAUUUUUAAACGCUAUAAGUAAUUGUUGCAAUCAACUCUAUUGCAACCGUUGUUAAAAUUAUUGCAACUUAAAAUAUCAAACUUCGAAGAGAUGUCGAGAUAUUGCCGACAAACUUGAAUAUUUUUUAAAAAACAAAAUUGAAAAAACACUAGGGUAAACGUGAGAGAUGGACGCUUACCUCACGUUAUCUCUUUUCUUUAUUUUCUUAAUUAUUAUUAUUAUUUCUUUAUGAUUGGUUCAUGCCAUAGUUUUUCUUUUUUGGAAAAUAUUGCAUCAGAUAACAAAAAAAACAACUCAUAACACCUAUUUUUUGCAUAUUGCAAAUAUGACAGCUAUGAUAAGUAAUUAAUCAUAUCAGACGGUUAUCAAAUGAAUAUCAGACAGUUAUCAUAAGACUAUCAGAGGAUUAUUGCUUUUAAAUUUGCUACUUUUGCAAAUUUAGAAAAUGUUUUGACAUUGACUUUAUUAUCAUAAUUUUUUUUGCUAUUUUUGCAAAAGUCACUUAGAGAAUUGAAAACAAAAUGAAUUGGGUUAAAAUUUUCCAUCACCAUCAACAAAAAUAAAUUUCCACAAACAAAAACAUGUAUAGAAAAAUUACAAUAAAAUAACAAAAUAUAUAUGACAAAAAGAAAGUGAAACAAUUAAUAUAAAUAUUAAUAUUAACUUUAUAUUUUUGCCCAUCAAGGAAGGUACUUGAUUGUGGUUGUCUAUCAAGAAAAACAAUUUGAAAAAUAAAUUACUUACUUAAUUUCUUUAAGAGUUCAUUACCAUUAAGAAAGGUUUUCCUUGAUGGUCAAUGCUCAUAGAGGAAGAGUCGUUUUUGUAAAAUGGGCUCAUCAACAAAAUUAAUUCUUUGCCCAUCAAGGCAAACCAAAUUGUUUUUCCAUGAGUUCUUGAUGGGCAAUGCUCAUCAAAUAAUAAUGUAUUUUUUGUAUGUAUUGUCCAUCAAGCAAUGCUUUUCUUGAAGGUUUUAUCGUCAAGAAUCGCCCCAACCCAAAAACUUACGUAUUUUACUAUUUUUGCAUAUGUGUCUACAAAAUAAGGGAUCUUUUCUUAACGGUCAGGACUAUCAAGAUAAAUCUAGAAGAGAAGAUAAAUAAAUCGAAAAAAAAGAAAAAGAAAAAGGGGAAAAAUACAUAAUAAUAAAUGGAAUUUAUGAAAAAAUAAUCGGACUUCAUGGACUUUUUUUAUUUUAUUAUACGGGUCAUAAAUAUGUAGAGGUUUUGUUACAUUUAUGUAAAUUAAACUAAAAUAAAUGAAAAAUAUGAAAAAAAAACGAAAAAAAAAAGUUAAUUUUCAUAAAUAUAACAAAACACCAAAAUAUUUACAACGCGUGUAACAAAAUAAAAAAAAGUACAUGAAGUCGACUAUUUUUUAAAAAUAUUUUAGGUUUGCCCUUUCUUUCCAUCUUUCUUCUGCAAUUUUUCUUUUCCUUUCCAUUGUCAUUUUCUCUUCUACUUUUGCAAUUUUUUCAAACUCUUAUUUGGUUCAAAAUUGUAUACCAAAUAUAAAAGAUCUAUUUUUUUUAUAAAAAAAUUCAAAUUUUUAUUUAAUUGUUCAAGAUCGUGUGCCAAAUAUGAAAAAUCAUGAAAAAAAACAUUGUAAUAUUGAGUAGACAAAUCUAGACGAUGAAUCUUAAAAAAAUCGUUUAGAUUUGGGUAGUUGAAUCUAAACGAUCUUGUACCAAAAACUCUUUUAAAAAACCUGUUUAGAUUUAAAUCUAAAUGAUGGUAUACAAAAAAUAAUUGAAUCUAAAGAAUUGUGUACAAACAAAAUCUUGAAAGAAAAUUGUUUAGAUUUGGAUACCUAAAUAUUUAAACAAUCAAAUCUAAACGAUCGUGUACCAAAAAAUCUUAAAAAAUAAUCGUUUAGAUUUGUGUAGCUAAAUCUAAAUGAUCAAAUCUAAACAAUCAUGUAUCAAAAAAUAGUCAAAUCUAGACAAUCGUUUAUCAAAUAUAUUACUUGCACUGGGUGCUAAUUAACAAUCAUGUGUCAAUUAAUAACGAACAUUUUUGGUAUUUUCUAUCGUGGACAUGUGGGUUUUUUCCGUUUUCGAAAUGGUUCUAUAUCGUGUAAAUAUUUGGACGCGGGGUUAUAUUUUUUAAAAUACUCCAACAAGAAAAAGGUUUUUAAAAAUAUAUAUACAUAAAAAGAAACUGUUUACGAUCAAACAGAAAAAACCAACUAAAACACACCAAAAUCUAUUACACAUCCUAAAUAUUUCAUCUAUUUUACUUCUUUUUUAACAAUUUUUCAUAUAUAUAUAUAUUUGUUUUAAGUUUAAUGGAGUAUUAUUGAAAUCUCAACUAUAAAAAUGUUACAUUUGGAAACAAAAAAAAAAAACUAAAUAGAAAUUAUAUCUAAAACAAAGGGAACAGAUAGAUACUUUUUCAAAAAAAUAUUAACAAUAAAUGUAUUAGAAUUUAUUAUAAUAGAUUUGAAAGUAUAACAAUUUAAAAAUUUUAAAAAUCAAAAGUUUAUUUAUGCAUAGAUUGAUACGUAUAUUGCAAAGAAAAUAAAUUAUUUGGUAGCUUUAAUUUAUGAAAACUAUAGCAAAGACCACAAUUUAGUAAAUAAACUAAAAAAUUUGCACAACCAUAAAAUAUUUAUAAAAAUAACAAACAUUGAUCAGUGAAUUUAAUUUUUUUUUAUAAUGUUAAGUUUACCAUUACGUGACUAUCUAAUAGAAGUUAUCACUAAUAGUUGCUAUCAAUAAUAGCAACUGAUAACAUAUUUCUCAAAUCGAAAGUUAUCACUAAUAACAUCUAUCAUUGACAGCAGCAACUAUAAAUUGCUAUCACUGAUAAUUGCUACAAAUGAUAGCUUUCAAUUUUAAAAAACUCAAGAAGAAGCACUUGUAAUGGUGGUAAAUGAAAAAUUAUCAUUGAUAUCAUUAAUUAUCAAAGAUAGCAACUCAUAACAGCCAUCGGUGAUAAUAGUUUAUAAUAGUUAUUGGUGACAACAACUUAUAGUAACUAUAUGUGAUAUUCACUAAUUGUCGCUCUUAGUGAUAACACUUAAUGGUAACUAUCAGUGGCUAUCAUUUAUAGUUGUUAUUAGUCAUAGCUUUCAAUGUGAGAAAAUCAGAAAUGUGUGAAGCUAGUCAUUUCUAAAAAAAAAAACUAUUAGUGAUAACUUUUAAUUUGAGAAAUUUGGGAAGAAGUGCUCACAAUGGUAACCGUGUGUAUUUAGUAUGUUACUAAAUUUUGUGCUAUAUAUAUAAUUUAUUUUAUCAUUGUAUUAUACAUGUGUGUGGUUUUUUUUUUCAAAAAUAGAACAAAACGCGAAAAUAUUUAUACUACAUAGAAUAAUUUUAAAUAGAAAAAAAAUUACAACAUGAAAUAACAAAAAUACAUAUUAAUUGGUUAAACACGUGUAAAAAAAUUAUGCUGUACCCUCAAUCCUAAAGCUAAUAAAUAGUUGGUUUUAAAACAAUUUUAAUGAUAAAAAAUUAAAAUUAAAUGACUAUUUUUGCAAUGUUAAGAGUGAUUGAAUCAUAGUCAUAAACUGAUAUAUGAGUGUAAUAAAUAGUUGGUUUUAAAACAAUUUUAAUGAUAAAACGUUAAAAUUAAAUGACUAUUUUUGCAAUGUUAAGAGUAGGAUUGAAUCAUAGUCAUAAAGUGAUCUAUGAGUGUAAUUCAAUCCUUUCACUUUGCCACGUGCAUCACUAUUAUUAGCUGUCCACUAUGCCACUUGUAUGGAAAAGUUUGCUUUAAAACAAAUUUAAACUUUAGGGGCUAAAACUUAUUAAAAUUUAGGGUUGAUGGUCAUUUUUAUAAUCUAAAUUAAAUUGUUUCAACAUAUUAUAUUCCUCAUUUAUCUUCAGAAAAUAAGAAUAUUUGAAGAAAUUAAAUGAUAUUAAAUCCUGUUGUUUAAAACUUGGGAGAUAAUUUUUGAAAUGAUGCUUGGAUAAACGGCAAAGUUAAUUCAAUUAAUUUUAAAUAUGGCAACACUAAUAUGAAUUUGCAAGCACACUUAUAAAAAUAUAAACUUAAAAAGGUGAAAUUCACCGGCAUAAAAUUUCUCUCUCUUACAAUGUAUCUACUACAUAUGUCUAGCUCUAAUUAUACCAAUUUUGUUUUAGAUCUUUAUUGUCAAUUUACAUAUAUCGUAUAUUGAUGUGUGAUUUCCCUCCAAGAUGAUUGUCGUCUGUAGUCGUAGAUUCUAAAUUCUUUAGAUAGUACUUGGAGUUAGAACAACUAAAGGGAGUUGGAAUUGUUAGAUUUUAUGUCCUAAAACACGUAGUUUGAAAUUUAAAAUCAUAUUAUAUCCAAUAAAAUGGUUAUUAAGGGCUUAUUUCUUGAAAAAAGAAGAAGCAAAAAGUUUUUCUUUCUUUGUAAAAGCAGUCUUGAGACGAGGGUAAUUUUGGGAAAAUUAAAUGUAGAUUUACCUUUUUGCCCUUUACUUUUCUCUCACCUUUUCAAUAUAUUUGCAAGAUGUCAUCACUUUCCUUUCUUUGUAUUUCUUUUGUUGCAUGGUUCACCGAGAGAGUAAGGAAGAAGAAAAAAAAUGUUUCGAAAGGGGGUUUCUUAAUGGAUGAAGUUUAUAGAUGAAGAGAUGAGAAAAGUGAACAAGAUGAAGUUUAUAGUGAUUCAACACAUAGCCUACAUCAUCACUCUUCAUAGGUAAAAAUCCUUUUAUUCAACAUUCAGUGUGAAAGUGAUAGAACUAAGUCAUGCACAACGGAAAAAGAAUCGAAUUUCUACCCUAAUUGCCACAAUUAACAUGUAACCAUAAACUAAUCAAAUUAGGGUUUUAAGAAAUAUUACCUUUGAAGCUUUCAAAAGGUUUGAUAUCUUCUUACCAAUUCUAACCGAGACCACCACUAGUACUCAACUGCUAUCCUCUAGACAAAGAACCGGGUUGUGGGACCCAAUUUUGGUGUAGAAAGUAAUGGAGAUAAAAUGAGAUUGGAAGGUUUUUUUUUCUUUUGUUGAGAUGAUGAAAAUGAUAAAAGAGGCAAAAAAGUUCUUCAACAUUUGAAAACACCUCUAUUUAUAACCUAAUUACAUGCAAAAAUGCAUGCAAUUCAUUUGCCAAAUCUCAACACCUAAUGUUUCACUAACAAUUAGUAGAACUUAGUGGGCUAGGUGUCUAUAUCUCAUAUAGCCACAUAUCCCACUAAGAGUUCGUGGGAUUAUCCAACAAAAUGUUGGAUUUUCCCACUAACUUAGUCCAAGGGUAAAAUGGUCAUUAGAUAUUUCUAGUCAAAAAUCAAACUUUUGACUUUUUACCAUUUUGUCCGUCUUGACUAAUUCCAACCUCCCGAUCAUGAAUCCACAUUCAUUUUUCCAAAAUUCAAAUCACAUUUGAAUAUAAGGCCGGUCAAAGUUUGACUUUUCAAAGUCAAAAGUCAACAUUUUGACUUUUUACUAUUUUUGACCAAUUUCAUCAAUUCCAAGCUUCUUAGUAUUAAUCCGCAUUCAUACUUAUAGUAUGUAAAACAUAAAGCUCUAUUUCUAAUUAGAAGACCAAUAAGUCUCCCACUUGUCCUAGUGGUAUGAGAGAUGUGGUGUGAGAGAAUAUAAAACUAGGGCACAUGGCCAAUAAGUCUCCCACUUGUCCUAGUUUACAAACAUCGUAGACCUAAACUGUGUAGGUGACCCUCAAACACUUUAGCCGUGAGGGCUUUUGUAAAAUGAUCAGCUAUACAAGUUUGCUUUAUGCUUCUCCAAACUACUGCUCCUCCAUUUAGAGUAAAUACUGAUCCUGAUGUAGACUUUCUAACAUCUUUAUCAGUUUGGAAAUCUGAAUCAGUGUAUCCAGUAAGGAUCAGAUCCUUUGUACGAUACAUGAGCAUGUAGUCGUAAGAUAUAGAAUGUUUUUAACGGCUGUCCAGUGAUCACGUCCAUGAUUGGAUUGAUACCUACUGACCAUCCCUACUGAGUAGCAAAUGUCAGGUCUAGUACAUAACAUUGCAUACAUUAAACUUCCAACAGCGGAAGCAUAGGGAAUAUUUCUCAUAUCCUCAACUUCUUGAGGUGUCUUAGGACAUUGUUCCUUUGACGAAUGAAUUCCAUAUCUAUACGGCAACAGACCUUUUUUUUGGAAUUCUGCAUUUUAUAUCUAGACAACAUUUUGUCUAUGUAAGAUGCUUGAGACAUGGCUAGUGUUUUGUUCUUACGGUUUCGAACAAUUUGGAUUCCGAGAACGUAUUGUGCAUCUCCCAAAUCUUUCAUUUGAAAUUGCAUAGCUAGCCAUUUCUUGAUAUCAGUAAGAUAUCCUACGUCAUUUCCAAUAAGUAGAAUAUCAUCUACAUAUAAGACUAAAAAUGCUAUAAUGGAAUUGACGACCUUUUGUAAACACAAGGCUCGUCAACAUUUUGUUCAAAGCCAUAAGAUUUGAUCGCAGUAUCAAAUCUUAUAUUCCAGGAUCUAGAAGCUUGUUUUAAUCCAUAAAUGGAUUUUUUAAGCUUACAAACCUUUUGUUCUUGAUCUUGUUCUAUAAACCCCUCUGGUUGAGACAUAUAGAUACUCUCUUCAAGAUUACCGUUCAAAAAAGCUGUCUUGACAUCCAUCUGCCAAAUUUCAUAAUCAUAAAAAGUGGCGAUGGAUAAGAGUAUUCUAAUUGACUUUAACAUGGCAACGGGAGAGAAAGUUUCCUCAUAGUCUACUCCCUCUCUCUGGUAUAACCCUUUGCCACAAGUCGAGCCUUGAAAGUCUGUACUUUACCGGCAUGGUCUCGUUUUCUCUUGUAGAUCCAUUUACAACCAAUAGGUUUUACGUCAUUUGGUUGAUCUACUAGAGUCCAGACAGAAUUAAAGUACAUAGACUCCAUUUCGAGGUCCAUGGCUUUGAUCCAUUGGUCACGAUCUACAUCUUUCAUUGCCUGUUUAUAGGUUAAUGGAUCCUCUAUGCCAUCGUCAGGUAUGACGACUUGAGUUUCAAUUAAACCCAAAUAGCGAUCAGGCUGAUGAACAACCCUCCCACUACGUCGAGGCUCUCUCAACUGUUGAGAAGGAUGUGAUUGACCAGAUUUCCUAGUCUUAUCAACUACCUUAGUGGAUGAACUAGGUUUAUCUAUAAGCACUUUUUGGGAAAUUUCUUUUAAUACUAGUUUACUACGAGGUUGAUGAUCCCUGAUGUGGUCUUCCUCUAAGAAUGUGGCAUUUGUUGACACAAAUAUUUUAUUUUCUUGAGGAUCAUAAAACAAACCACCUCUUGAUUCUUUUGGAUAACCUAUGAAAAAGAAUUAAAAUAAAAAGCAUAAUUUUGAACGAUGUUCCAAUUUCUUAGGAUUUUGUACCAACACGUGUGCUGGACAACCCCAAAUUCUAAAAUGACGUAAACUUCCUUUACGCCCUUUCCAUAGCUCAUAAGGUGUUUCUGAAACACUUUUAGAGGGAACAUUAUUCAAAAUAUAAACAGCUGUUUCUAAAGCAUAUCCCCAAAAAGAAUCUGGCAUCUGAGAAAAACUCAUCAUAGAGCGAACCAUGUCUAACAAGGUCCGGUUUCUUCUUUCUGAUACACCGUUCUGUUGAGGUGUACUAGGUGCAGAGAGUUGUGACUGGAUUCCAUUUUCUAUUAAAUAGUCUCGGAAUCGUAAGUCCAUAUACUCUCCACCUCGAUCUGAUCGAAGUAUUUUUAUUGUUUUACCUAAUUCGUUUUCUACUUCAGCCUUAUAUUCUUUGAACUUUUCAAGACUAUUAGACUUAUGAUGUAUUAGGUAAAUAUGACCAUACCUUGAAUAAUCAUCAAUGAAGCUAAUGAAAUAUUCAUAUCCACCUCGAGCUUUGACAUUCAUUGGUCCACAAAGGUCCGAAUGUACGAGCUCUAAGGGUCCUUUUAGCUCUUAGACUUUCCAGUAAAAGAUCUCUUGGUCAUUUUUCCUUCAAGACAAGAUUCACAAGGAGGUAAAGUAUUAUUUUCUAACUGACUUAGAAGCCCACUUUUAACUAAUCUCCCAAUCCUAUUGAGAUUUAUGUGACCAAGUCUUAAGUGCCAUAAAUAGGCAUUAGAAGAAACUUUUUGUCUUUUAUUCUGAGUUUCAGCUGUUCUGAAUAUUUCAGUAUUUAAGACAAAAUUUGCUCUGGUUGGUCUUAACUUAUAUAAGUUGUCUUCAAGUAUAGCAGAACAAACUAGAAUACCUUUAUAGAAAACGAACGCUUCAUUAAUUUCAAAAGAUAUUCUAUACAUUUGUUCCAAAAUACAAGAGAUAGAUAUUAAAUUUCUUUUCAUUUGAGGUACAUAUAAGACAUUCUUAAGUAUGACAUAUCUAUCUCUAAAAAACAACUUUAAAUCUCCCACUGCUGAAGCUGAGACCAUCUCUCCUGUUCCAACCUUGAGAGUGAUCUCGCCUUCUGAAAGCUUUUUCCAAGAACUAUUUUCCUGAAAUGAGAAGCAAAUAUGGUUUAGUGGCUCCUGAAUCUAGUAUCCAGGUACAAUUUUCAUAUUCCACUAAACAUGUUUCUACAACUAGUAAAUCAUAUUUACCUUGUGUUUCCUUCUCUGCCUUUUUUUCUGCAAGGUAUUUUGGGCAGUUUCUUAACCAGUGCCCGUUUUGGCCACAAUGGUAACACUUACCUUUUUCUGCACCUUUCUUACCCUUGUUCUGUUUGGGAGUCUUUCCCUUUCCCUUCUUUUUUAUUUGAGCAUUAGGUUUUGAGGGUCCAGCUUUGGUUUUAGAGGACGAUCCUCUUAUAAAUUUUCUUUUUGUGGUAGCAACAUUUGCUUCCACUUGUUUUCCUUUACCCAUAGUAAGGUUUUGGAAUCGCUGGAGUUCAUUCAGAAGGGUUGUCAAGUUAAAUUCUAUCUUGUUCAAAGACGCAUUCGUUUGGAAUGGAAUGAAGCUCUUCGGAAGAGACUCUAAGAUAAAACUAACUUGAUUAACCUCUUCGAUGGGACCACCAUUCACUUCAGCGAUGUUGAAGUGCAUCAUCAUGUCCAGAACAUGUUCUCUAACAGAGGUCCCUUCCUUCAUACGCUUAGUGUAAAUGUAUUUGACUGCCUCGUGUCUUAAGGACCAUUCUGGUUGCCCAAACAUUCCCCUUAAUGAAUCCAUAAUCUCUUUAGCCGUGGCUAAGGAUUCAUGUUUCUUUGCCAAUACAUCAGACAUGCUGGCAAGAAUGUAGACACGGGCUUUUUCAUUAGCUUUUAUCCAUCGAUCAUAUGCAUCCCGACUAGUUCGGUUAGCAUUAGAGGCAGGGUUUUGAGGACAUUCCUCAGUUAAGACAAAUCUUAAAUCGUCAACCACUAGUAUUGUGUUAAGAUUUGAUUUCCAAGCCGCAUAAUUAUCGCCAUUAAGUUUUUCGGAAGCUAAAAGUUGAACUAUUGAGCUAUUCAUGCUGAAAAACAAACAUAUUCUUUUUAGGAAAAAACUAUAAUCAUAAAAAAUAUUCAAUCUAAUUUAGCAAUUACUAAUAAUGUACCCUUUCAUUAUUUGUAUUUUGCAACAAUAUUUCAAAGGUUUAGAACAACCUUCUCCGAAGGGUAGUUGAUUAUUCCUCCUUUGAACCAAGACAAUCUUCACUAGAUGGUAUCUCUAGAAUAACUGCUUAUUCUUUAUAGCACUUAGUUAUCGCUACUUUAGUCAAGAAUAGUGAAGUUUCCUCUCAUUUUUUUAUGGGCUUUUUCUUAUGUAUAUUGCAUAUGUUGUUUGUUUUUUUUAGCUCUUAAUUGUUUCACUGUUUUAUGUUUGCAAGUCUCUCUAUUCUUUGUUUGGUAUGCAAUGUGGUAACUAGGUCUUGCUAGAACCGGUGGGCUAACCUUUCUAUGGUUAUAGACUUAGUUUCUAAGUUUGACUGCUCCCUUCGGAGUGACAACAAGCCUCGUUUUCCCCCUACUAUGGAACGGGGAGGAUUCCUCCUCUUUUCAAAGCCCUCGUCAAACUCAAUGCUAAGUUUGACUGCUCCCUUCUGGAGUGACAACAAGCCUCAUUUUCCCCCUAGUGUGGAACGGGGAGGAUUCCUUCUCUUUUCAAAGCCCUCAUCAAACUCGAUGCUAUGUCUAGAACGCUAAGAGUAGGUGGCCUGGUUUUCGUUAGGCCAAAAGUGAAGUUUCCUCUCAUUUUUUUAUGGGCUUUUUCUUAUGUAUAUUGCAUAUGUUGUUUGUUUUUUUAGCUCUUAAUUGUUUCACUGUUUUAUGUUUGCAAGUGUCUCUAUUCUUUGUUUGGUAUGCAAUGUGGUAACUAGGUCUUGCUAGAACCGGUGGACUAACCUUUCUAUGGUUCUACACUUAGUUUCUAAGUUUGAGUGCUCCCUUCGAAGUGACAAUAAGUUUUGUUAAUGUCCACCCUUUUCUAAAGGGAUUUAGUUCAUUGUGGCUAGACAAACGGCUCCUAACUCAUGUUAUUUGUUAAAACCAUCUCAAUUUCUAAAGAGUACCUCCUAUCCUUUUUUAACUCUAUCUAGGCUAGGUUUGGACCAAGCGCAUCAUAGGUAAGUCACAGCAACGCAACAAAGGAAGACAAAGCUAGAAAAGCAUCCAUGCAAUCAAGCAUUCACAACACACAUACCAUUUUCUCAAUCAUGCAUUCACAUCUGAACGAGAUAUCGCUAACAUCUCAAUAAGAUAUCGCUAAAAAGGGACGUAAACCAAAAAAGACGGCAGCUUAUGCUCAAAUUUCAGCACAUAUAAUCAUCAACAUUCAAAAUUUUACAUCACAAACCCAAGUUUAGUGGUCAAGGGUUGCUAGUCAUGCUUUUUAUGCAAGAUCUAAGUAAGCUAAUAAGGUAUAAUGCUCCUUAUUGUAAGGAAAUUUUUUUUAGAAAUUUAGAAAUUUGGGCAAAAUUUGAACCCCAAGUUUAGACUAAACAUGCAAGCUAUUGCCCACCCCCACUUAAAAAGUUGCAAGCUUUUGAAAAUCAAAGUAAAGGGAGAAAAAUAAGGGGGAACUUUGUAUUGGCCAAGUGCCCUAGUUUCAUAUAUAUUCUCUCACACCACAUCUCUCAUACCACUGGGAAUUUUAGUCCAAGUGGGAGUUUGUUGGAAUUUUUUGUUCUAAAACUCGUAGUUUGUAAAAUCAUAUUCUGUUCAAUAAAGUUGUUAUUGAGAAAUUAAAUAUUAUAAUCUUAAAUCCAAUAAAACUAAGUUCCAAGGCUAUUUUUAAAUAAACUUGAACUUUAUGUGUAAACAUAAACGUGGAUCAAGUUCGAGUAUAUAACCUAAAUAGUCUAUAGUAUAUGAAAUAAAGGUUGGACGCCUUAUUUAGAGAAACUAUGGAUGCGGCCCACUUUGUAGUACAAACGAGGUGAUCCUAAUAGUUCAUGUAGAGACAUGAAAGUGGGGGCAUCCUAUGUAAAAUGUUUACAUAAGAUUGAACCAUAAAUUAGUCUUUUUUACGUUAUAACACCGUUUACUAUUUAAAACUAACUAUCUCAAUUAUUGAUGACCUAGGUAACUUAGUCUUAAUCCUGAGUUAACUAUGAACUCCUGUUCACACGAGAUUAUCCUUAUAUCUGCAUAGGUGAGGGCAGCUCAUCAGCGUUGGCCCAAUAAGCCUCCCAUUUCAGGGGUAAGAUCGGGUGGAUAGCCGAACAUAGGGUACAAGAUGGAAUUCACUCCUACCCGCUUUAGGGUUAGUAGAUAGGUUGUUCUCUUAAGCACUGAAUCCAAGUCUUGAACAAGGGGCCUCACCCUCUCAUCGGCCCGAGAGGGAUUAAGUUUAUAGGUUGAACCUUAAACCAAUUGUUCAAUAGUGGAUUAGUGGGACUUAAGGAGCAAGAUGUAAUCUUGGGGGUAAAACGGUAUUUUGACCCAGCCAAGGUUACGAGCAACCUGUGAAGGAUUAACUUACUGAUUAUGGUUUUAUCAAAUGGACACAAAUAUAUCUAUAGUGAGGGGAGUGCAACUACGGGACUUUAGUGGAAUGACCCGUUAGUUAACGAAUGUUGAUUAACUCGGUUUAAAAGAGUUUAGCUAGUUAAUCUUGAAUCGUUGGAGCCCAUGAUCUAUAGGUCCAUUAGGUUCCUCUGCUAGCUCAUAUGGAUUAAACUUAGAACAGUGAUGAAAUAAGUCGAAUUGUUCGAAUUGGGAGAAGAAAGGGAAACCGACAAAUAUAGUGAUAUAGUCGUCGAUCUUCUAAUUAGAAAUAGAGCUUUAUGUUUUACAUACUAUAAUUAUGAAUGCGGAUUCAUACUAAGAAGCUCGGAAUUGAUGGAAUUGGUCAAAAUAGUAAAAAGUCAAAAUGUUGACUUUUGACUUUGAAAAGUCAAACUUUGACCGGCCUUAUAUUCAAAUGUGAUUUGAAUUUUGGAAAAAUGAAUGCGGAUUCAUGUUCGGGAGGUUGGAAUUAGUCAAGGCGGACAAAAUGGUAAAAAGUCAAAAGAUUGACUUUUGACUAAGAAAAGUCAAAGUUUGACUUUUGACUAGAAAUAUCUAAUGACCAUUUUACCCUUGGACUAAGUUGGUGGGAAAAUCCAACAUUUUGUUGGAUAAUCCCACUAACUCUUAGUUGGAUAUGUGGCUAUAUGAGAUAUAGACACCUAGCCCACUAAGUUCCACUAAUUGUUAGUGGAACAUUAGGUGUUGAGAUUUGGCCAAUGAAUUGCAUGCAUUUUUGCAUGUAAUUAGGUUAUAAAUAGAGGUGUUUUCAAAUGUUGAAGAACUUUUGCCUCUUUUAUCAUUUUCAUCAUCUCAACAAAAGAAAAAAAACCUUCCAAUCCCAUUUUAUCUCCAUUACUUUCUACACCAAAAUUGGGUCCCACAACCCGGUUCUUUGUCUAGAGGAUAGCGGUUGAGUACUAGUGGUGGUCUCGGUUAGAAUUGGUAAGAAGAUAUUAAACUUUUUGAAAGCUUCAAAGGUAAUAUUUCUUAAAAUCCUAAUUUGAUUAGUUUAUGGUUACAUGUUAAUUGUGGCAAUCAGGGUAGAAAUUCGAUUAUUUUUCCGCUGUGCAUGACUUAGUUCUAUCACUUUGGACUCCCCUGGAAGGAUCGACAUCCUUGACUUUGGUUUGAAGCUUGCAUGGAUAAACCUCUUCAUUUCUUUUUCAUUGAUUAAUUAUCCUUGUUCCUGAAAAUCAAAGGAAAUUCUCUCAAUUUCAUUUAUUACUAAAAUUAGGAUAAUUAUAGUAACUGUAUUUUUAACUCUUUUGGUAGUUUACGUCUUGAGUGUGUUUUCAAUGAUAUUUUUAUAUACAGUACAAAGUUUAGGGGUAUUCUGUAUAAUGGAACCUCUUUGACACAAAAAAAAUAAAUUCAAACCCAUGAAGUCUAACUAACCGAACACAAUUAGAUUUCUAGUAGCAGUAAUUUACCACAGAAACAUAAAUCAAAGGUUAGAAAAUAAUUUAAUGGCAUUUCUAUAAAUUUAUCACAUGAUCUUUCUUCUUCUUUUUUUUUCUUUCAUUUUUUGAUAAAACUCUAACCAUGUAGUUAAGCUUCUACCUGUAGCAGUUAAUUAAAAUAGAGACAGAGACUAUAGAUUAACAAACAAUUGGAAGGCCUCUCGAUCAAUUUAAUCCACAAUAAGUUCAUAUUUGUGUCUUUUUGGAAGUAUAAAAAAUGAAAAAUCGCUAUUUUCCCAAAACGAAAAACCUCUUCAUUCCUCGUUGAUUAUUCAUCCUUGUUCUUCAAACCUCAAGCCUUAAAAUUGAGGAAGUAGAGGAAAUUCUCUCAAUUUACUUCAAAGGAAGGAUCAUGUUCUCUCCUACAAAGGGUGUCUUUCUAAUUUUCAUAACUUUAUGACUUAAUAUGACAGUGUUGUAUAAUGCAAAUCCAUAUAGAAGAAACACCAUUUACAGCACAGCCAAGGAAAAUGAAGAUUCAAUAUCUUUUUCAAAAAACGCUCUGUCUCAUUUGCACUUAUUUCUCUCUUCUUCUUCCACGCUUAAUGAAGAAAACGCUUAAUGAAGAAAAAAUAAGAAAUCAACCCUAAACCCCUCAACCCAACAUCCUGGUGUGCUUUUUCAAUCUACAUCCUUCUCAAAGAAACAUACUGAUGUGCUUUCUUAAUCUACAUCCUUCUCAAAGAAAUGAAUUGAAAAAUCUCUUCUCACAGAAAUGAAUUGAAAAAUCUCUAAAAGUUUCCUCAUCAAACAAUACCAUGCAACAAUGUUUAAAAAAGGAUAGUAAAAAGGAAGAACAAUGACGUAAUGGUGUUUAAAGAGAAUGGUAAAAAGGAACAAAGAUGGUAAGGAGAAAUUUAUUUUCAACUUAAUCAUGAAGAACAGUUCAACAAAAAAUAAAUAAUAAAAUAAAGGCACUUGGGAAAGCAACAAACCUGCUUCUGUAACUCAAGAAGCUGCCGCUCUUUCUCAUGAAUGUGUUCUUCAAGUUCAUGCAAAUGUUUUAUUUGCUGAGCUCUUUCAGCUUCAGAAUGAUCAUGUUCUCUCCUACAAAUGAUAUGUUUCUAAUUUUCAUAACUCAAUGACUUAAUAUGGCAGUCUUGUAUAAUACAAAUCCUUAAUAAAAGAAACACCACUUACAGUAGAGCCAAGAAAAAUGAAGAUUGUAUGUAAUGUACUGCAAUAAAAUUAAAAUACUAAAGAAUGUGUUAGGAUGUUAGCGUAAGCAAAAAAGUAAAAUCAAUGGCAAAAGAAGGGAAAAAUUGAAGGGCAUCAACAAAAAAUGUAACCUUUAAGUUGCUAUUUCCUUAUCUUGUUCCCACAGAAGAUCAUCCUUGGCCCAAGCCUGUGAAGAAAUUAUAGAAUAAAAGGGUUAGUGAAGAUAAAAACAGAUCAUUACAAAACAUUCUUAUGCAAGCAAAUCAAGCAUGAGGGGAAAAAAAAACACCUCGCGUCGUUGUCUAAUGUAAUUGAUUGCAAUUCCUUAUCUUUAUCUUCUAUUUUCCUUUCCAGUUUGCGGAUAGCCUGCUGUCUUUCACAUAGCCUGUUCCUGUACAGCCACAAAAUGUCUCAUUGAAGUAUUAAAGUAGUCUACAUCUAAAUAGUGAUUAAGUUUUGAGUUGUGGCAAUAUGAACUAGGAUCUCCUUUACAAUUGUGCUCUAAAGAUAUUGAAGAUAAUUUAUAGAAUAAAUCAAUCUUAUUAAUGAUAAUAAUAGAAUUAGUAAUGACGAUAUUACAUAUCCUUUAAAAUUUUUUGUUAAGUGAAAAUUAUGAGGUUUCUUUCCGCUUUUGUGCGUUCUAUGUUUAAUUGUACUUUAUCGUACCAAUUUAGAAUUUUAAAAUGUUUUUAAUUCACUAUUUGAGGCUUCAUCUUGCCUCUUCAAGUCAAAAUACCUCACGGCCAGCCUUUGUUGAGUUAUUUUCUAUUGAAUAAUAGAUUGUGUUUUCUUUUUUGGUCAAGAGACCAAAGUAGAUUAGUUACAAUUAGAAACGGUCUUCAUACCUCCCGCUUAAGUGGGUUAGAAGAGGGAGGCUCGCUUCCACCUAGCCGGCAAGGGUUUGGAAUCAAGAACCAUGGAGUCGGGAUCUGACGGUGAGGGUGGAACAAAAGGACUUUGGAAGACGAAUUUGGUUUCCGAGGGGUCUGCCGCUCUUGAUUCUGGCACCGUUAGGGCUAGGAGAAGACGAUGGCGUGGAUCGGCAAGAUGGGCAACUCACAGAGAGCGAAAGAGAAUGGGAGAGGGAAGAGGAAGUAGAGAGAGUUACCGUUGGAAAAAGUCUAUAUUACCCUCAAGUUAAAAAAUAUCCUCAAAUCAAUUUAUGAAUCCUCUCUUCUCCUUCUCCCUCCGUUUUUCCACUUUCUAAAAAUAUUUCAUUUUUCUCUCAUCCCUUCUUGUAUUUCAUUUUCCCUCAUUUUCACAAAAUUUCCUUUUUCUUCCUUUUCCAUUCUUUAAUUCGUUUUCUUGAAAUUCCUUUCUCAAACUCCUCCCAUAGUCUCCCACCGGCCUUUGAAAACCAUGUCGUUCCUUAUCACCUCAUUCUUUGCCUUUUUCAAGCUUCUUCCUUUCUUGAAAUCAAAUCUUCUUUCAUAGAAGUCAUUUAAGCUCUCACAGCUCGUUGUCAUGGUUGUCUCCCACUAUGUAUCAUCUUCGAUAUCUUUCUUAGUUGGACUACGUAGCCAAACAACUCGACAUCUACCACACAAUGUUUAGCGGCAUUGGAGGUUUUUGCGUAGCUUGCUAUGUCUCUCUUUGGCUCAACCUUCCUCACCAGAACGUCGUCGCCCACGACUUUCUCUGUCAGAUUUUAAAGAAGGUAUCGUUCAGCUCCAUAAGACCUAAUUGUCGACUAACAUCGCGGAAGCAAAUGGUGAAGAUGGUUGGUCGAUUUUAGAAACUUGCAGGUUGUUACUGUAGCUAAAAUUGAGCAAUAAUUUAAAAAUUUUGGUAGAUUUCUACCUAAUGAUGUGUAUUUAUUAGGUCUUGGAGGCCCUCGCUUUUGAUUAUUUGUUUGGAUUGGCUCACAUGGAUGGUUCUUGAUGCAUUUGUUGGUGGUGCCAUGAAUAGGAAGGGAAAGAGGGAGAGGUAGUUACCAGUCAGAUGCUCUUAAGGGACGGUUUGGUUCUCAUAGUUUGGUCGAGGAAGCAGCCAAGAUGGAAGUGACUAUGGUCAGUUGAGAGGCAACGGUUUCCCUCAGUGGUACCACAAGGUUCAAUAGUAAUGUUAAUUUGUGGGGAAUUGAUUAUCAAGAUAAGAAUGUACUUUUCCCCCUUAGAUGGUUUUUAAGAUGCAAUUCAAGUGGAAUUUUUUUGACAUUUCAAGUACAAGCACUAGUUAGACAAUGGGAGGGAAAUAGACUUGAGAGAUGAAGACCCUUUUCAUUAAAUUUUACCGUUUUGUGGUAGUUCCGUAGUCAUUAGGUGAAUAUUGUUGCCAUUUUACAAUCAAAUAAUGUAUAAUUGAGUGAGCAUCUUGCCAAAUAAAUGAACAAUUUAGAUCCUUGAAUGCCAUUUUUUUCAUCAUGCUUUAUAGUAAGAUUUCGUUAAUCAAAAUCAAUUAACAACUUGAUUUAUGAGAUGUUUGAAUUUUGAAGUUUAGUUUGAAAAAAAAAAACUCAUGUGUUGUGUAUAGUUGUUUUUCAAGGAUAACGUUCGAUCAUGAUACAUGUAAGUCUUUCGAUGUGUAACAAUAUCAUAGUGGAGUAUGGAAAAAAAAAUUAAGUGAAUUUUUAUUUUAUGUUUUAGUUAUUUUUCUAAUUUUACAAACAUAUAUAUCCCUUUUAAGUGGGUCUAUUCCGCACGCAUCUCAAACCUAUCUCACAACAUUUUACACAUUUCAAACUUUCACUAUGAGUUUCACAAUCAAAUUGCUACCGUUCCUAAGUUAUCUCGCACGCAUCUCGCACACAUCUUGCACCCAUCUCGCACCUAUCUCGUACACAGGUUAAUUUGUCCUAAAUGUCCUAAAUCUUGCAUCUAUCUCGCACCUAUGUCCUACCUUUUCUUCUUCUUAAUUUGCUUUCGUCAAUUUGUGCAAUUCUUUCUCAAAUCUUUCUUACUCCAUUUGUCACCGACCAUCAGGUGCAAUGGAGCAACAAAGCAAACAACAAAGAGUGAAAGCAAAAGAAAAAGGUCAAUUCUCACAUGAUUAUUUUUAACAUUCUACUUCCACCAUAAGAAAAAUUGCCAUAACAAUUAUGUGAACCAUACCUUGAUCUUCAAUGCUCGAUUCUUGCAUGCUUAUCUUGAUACUCGUUUCUUAUUUUUUGAUUGCUCAACUUUAAUUUCUAUCAAUAUGAUAGAGUGGGAAUCAAGAACGAGUAGCAAAAGCGAGCAAGUGUCAAGUCAUCACGAGCUAUAACAAGAUUAAGUUGCAAGAAUCAACUAUUAUGAGUUGUCAUACAUAUUUGUUAUUGGUAAUUUCACUUAUAAUAGCAAAUGCAAAAAAAAAUCUAAAAUAUGGAUCCUUUUUAAAUUUUAAUGGAUGAUCCAUCAACAUUUGAAAUUUAUCGAAUUUUGUGUCCACAAAAACAUUGUUCCAUCUAAAAAAAUCUUAUAUACAUGACAUCCUUGAUAUUCUAAAAAAGAAAGUUUGAAGACUUCAAAUAUAUGUGUAAAUCUUAUAUACUCUAAAAGAUAUUUUCAAGGCCUAUAUACACAUAUACACAUGUACACUGUAGUCAAGUAGACUUGGUUGGAUGUUAUUGUGACUGUACGAAAUCAAUUAGAGAACUUUGAGAUGGGUUUUUGAUGUUGUAUUGAAGUGAGUUCAAUCAAAGCUUGGAAAAAGCUUUCUUACGAAGGUAAGGGGGCGGUCAUACACUCAAUUGAGGGGAGUAUAAGUACAUUAUAUUGAUGGGAUCCAUACAAAGCUUGAAGAAGAGAGUAAUCGUAGGAGUGAGGAGGGAGAAGUUAAAGUUAAAACUAAAGAAUAAGCUAUAGAGAUAAAUACUCCAUUGUAAUUUAACUCUUUAUAAGUUGAUUUUUUUUUCUAUUAGGGCAUACAAUCCUCAAAAUAGUAAGUAAUAUUGCACUAAACGAGUUAUGAAUAUUUUCGUCUCACAAUCUCUUUGUUCUUCUUUGAUAUUAUGUUAUUAUAUUUGUCGGCAAUUUUGUUACGCAACCAUACCCUAUUUCUUAGUCAUCUCUAAAAAAUCUUUUUUUUUCCAUAUAUUGACUUUUCUAUGUAAUUUCUUUUCAAAGUGCAUUUAAGAACUAAGUCCCGUAAUUUAAUUUGCCACUAAAACCACUUACUUGAACAAUUGAUUCAUUCGUGAGAGAAAAUUAAAAUUUAAUCGAAGGAAGAACUUUUUUUUAAAAACAAAAAAAGAAAAAGUUAAUAUAUUUCAAAAAAAGAGUAGGUAAGAUUUAGAGAACGUGUUUUAGGUCGGUCAAAGAAAUUAUGUUUUGAUCUCGAUUAAAUUUAUUUUUUUAGUACAAUAAAGAUCAAAAGAUGUGAACUACAAUUUUUUUGGUCACAACUCAUCGACACAUUUAUAUUAUCCAUAAUAUGAUACUUACCUAUUUUACUAUUCAAAGCAAUCAAAUUUACAUAGGAAUCUUUUUGUAAGAAUGAUUUGUUCACGAGGUCUUUUACGAUUAAUAAACUCGUCCCGUCGUAAAGGAUUCUAACAUUUUUCUUACAUCAUAGUGCACUACUACAUUUUAUAACGCGAUAACCAUUCCUAUUACGGUUUUAGAUGAGAAAAAUGAAAGAAUGUGCUAGAGAUGAUCGUCAAGUUAAGGCCAUGUAUACAUUAUAAAAAGCAAUAGUGAACUAAGGAUAAGUAUAAGUUUGUGAGGGAGAAGUGUUACAUGGGAAAUUAACAAAAAAAUAGGAUAAUUUUGAAGGAUUUAAAAAGUUUUAGGAUAAAUUUUAAAAAAUAUGACAUUUAAGACAAAUUAACUAGGAAAAGUCUAUAUUACCCUUUAGUUAUAAAAAAACCUAAAAAGCAAUUUAUGGAAUUCCUUCUUCUUCCUCCAUUUUCUCACUUCCAAAAAGAAUAUUUCAUUUUUCUCUCAUCUCUCCCUGUGCGUAUUCCAUUUUUCCUCAUUAUCACAAAACCUUUGAUUUCUUUUUUCUUCCUUUCCCAUUUUUCAUUCACAAAACUACAAAAAUAAUGAUAGUUUCGGUGAUUUCAUUGUGGAACAUUCACAAAGAUGUGUAUGAGAUAGGUGCGAGAUGUGUACGAGAUAGGUGCGAGAUGUGUACGAGAUAGGCUAAGAGGGAUUAAAGAAAAGUUCAAUCAGUUUACAAGCCUAGAGGAUUAAUAGUAGAGAAGAAAUGGAUGAAAGAGAAGAAACGUAGGUACCAAAAGUUGAAGGAAGGAAAAAGAAAAGAGGAAGGAGGAAAUUAAAUGAGAGUAUUUUCGUCAUUUCACCUCUAAUUUGUCCUAAAUGUCAACUUUUUUACAAUCAAUCCUAAAAAUCUUUAUCUACCUCAUCUUUUGCCUAUUUUUGUCAAUUCCCCAAGAAAGAUGGAGAAGAAAUUUGACGGGGAAUUGCCAAGAAGAGUACAAAUUUGACCACAUUUAAGACUUUUGAGACCAAAUUUUAAAAAGAAGAGUUUUGGGACAAAUGGGUAUGUGAAAUAUCUAAAUUACCCUUUAGUUUAAAAAAGCUCUAAAAUUUUGAAACCCACGAUUUCUCCUCACGCAACACAUAUUCUGCUGCUCGCAGGUGACUCCAUUUACAGAGAUAACAAAUCCCAACCAACAAACGGAGACAAUCGAUCAGAUGGAGUGGCGGUGACUUGGGUAGCAACGACGUCUAUUGGGCGACUUGGACAACAACAACAAUUUCUAUGGAUUGUGUGUCAACAAUUUCUAUAUCUUUCUUUCCAUAGAUUUUUUUCCUCAUUUUUAUUGCUUAUAUGUUACUUAUGUAUACCAGGUAGGAAAUUUGGCUGCUAGUUGAAGAUUGGACAACUAGUGGAAAGCAAGUAUCAAACAACGCUUGAUGGCUUAUUAAAAGCAAAAGAUAUGGACACACAUGGUGUAAUUAGCUUUAGGGUAAGCAUUACAGAAACUGGAGUUAUUGUUUUGUAUUUAUUUGAACUUAUGUCGAACCAUUUAAUUGUAUUCUUGAAGUUGAUCAUUUGUGAUAUAGAUGCUAUAAUCGAUGUAAUUGAGAAGAAUUUUGUUCUUUCAUUAUCUUUAAUGUAUUAUUCCAACCCUUACUAGAUAGGUGCGAGAUGUGUACGAGACAAGAGGGAUAACAAUUUGAUUUUUAAAUUAAUAGUAAAAGUUUUAAAAUGUGCAAGAAAGGUGUGAGAUGUGUACGAGAUAGGUGCGAGAUGUGUACGAGAUAGGUGCGAGAUUUAUACGAGAUAGGCUAAAAGGGAUUAAAGAAAAGUUCAAUCAGUUUACAAGCCUAGAGGAUUAAUAGUGGAGAGUCGUGGAGAAGAAAUUGAUGGAAGUGGAAAAGAAAUGGACGGAAGAGAAGAAACAUUCACCGGAGGCACCAAAAGUUGAAGGAAGGAAAAAGAAAAGAGGAAGGAGGAAAUUAAAUGAGGGUAUUUUCGUCAUUUCACUUCUAAUUUAUCCUAAAUGUCAACUUUUUUACAAUCAAUCCUAAAAAUCUUUAUCUACCCCAUUUUUGGCCUAUUUUUGUCAAUUCCCCAACUUUGACGGUAGAGGGUUUUGUAUAAAAGGCAAUAAUAAUAAUUCCUAUUCUUUUUAAUAUUAUUUAUUAAUAAAAAUAAUUAAAAGUUUAAAUAAUCCAUCACACAUAUACUUCUUAUCAGUUAUUAGAAUUAAAAAAAAAAAAUUAACAAAUAAAAUUUGUAAAAUUAUCAUACAUUGAGAACAAAAAAAAAAAAAACAUUUGUGAAAUAAAAAAAAAACUGUAUAAAAGAUAAAAAAUGAAUUACCUUAAUUUUAAUAAUAUUUUAUAUCUUAUCUUGAAAGAUAUAAAAAAUAUUAAAAUGUAUCUAUCUCGAAAUAGGUUUUCAACUACGUCCCAAGUGGAAUAAAAAAUUGUUACCAAACUCUUAAACAUAGAAUUUCAUAAUCUCUCCAUAAUUUGUACGUUAGUAUGAGUUUGUAGAGUGUGUUUGACCCAUGAAGUUAGAAGUAGUGUAUAAAAGUAGAAGUUGUAAAAUCCAAUUCUUGGUUGACCUAAAUAGUUGGCGGAUCAUUAUUAGAAAUUUAAUUCUAAGCACUCUACUUGUCCAACAUUACAAUUUAUUCAAUUAGAUAGUUAAAAAAAAAUGAAGUCACAAGGUUCUUUAUUAAUGUCCCUAAAAUUCCUUCUUCCGUCUAAUGCUACAAAUAUGAACAAUCAGCAUUCACGAAAGGACAAAAAAUGAACUACAUACAGUACAACAAGAAAACAGAUAAAGUCAAAGCCAAAGUACACUGUAUUGAUGCCAAACUUGUUUACGAAGCUCAUGAAAUAGAAGUUGAUGCAGACCAUUGGUUGUUUCACACCAACUACUUUUCUAUAGACAAAUAGCCUACCCAUAAAUUAAGAGACAAUAACCGAGGAGAGCAUAGAAGUUGGAAGGUAUUUACAUUGUUGUUGAUGCAAAGAGAUAGUAAGCAGAGGUUGUUAGAGGAUGUGGAACUUAAGAUCUACAAUAUGGUGGAUAAAUUAUUUGGGUCAAUAGUUAUAUUUCAGAGUUUGGAAUGAUGAAAAGAGUUUAUAUACUGUGAUAUUCCAUUCAAUAUACUUACCAUAAAAACGAGGUAGAAGAAAGGAAGAAGAAAGACUAACCUUGAAUCAUUAGCUUCAAGUGUCUAACAGUAGCAAAGGAUGGGCUGGUAGACGACGAACCCUAAGCAAAACCAAUGUGGACGACGGUGAGAGAUCAGAAUGUUGUUGUAAAAUCGUGAGAGGCAGGGUAUCACAGUCGUCGUGUUGGGUUUUAGCGUGGCUUUAGCAGUCGUGCUAGAGCGCACUAGAGAGCAAAAAGAAUUAGAUUGAAAGAGGCCGAAAAUGGGGGAAAAUAUUUGGAGGGAACUUCAAUAUUUAUUUCCCACUUUUUCUUUGUUGUUCUUUUCCACAUCCUAUUUAAAAUAAUGGGCUAUUAAAAGUUCGUUUUGGUGUAGUGCUAUUUGUGUCUCGAAUCGUCCAUUUUCGUUCAAACUACUUUAAAGAUACAAGUAUUAUAACCAACAACACGAUCGAAAGAAUUGGUCUAUGCAACUUCAACCUACGUGGCUUUAUCAGGUUCACACACACAAUGAGUGACUUUCCUUCGUUUGGAUCCAUUUCGAAAAUUGUACUCUAUGGCCCAAAAUGAAAGGCCCAUCGUCUAUUUACUCGAAUCCUAGCAAUAAUUUAUUCUCACUUAAAAUUUUAAACGUAUAUGGAAAGCCCACAAUGCUCGACCCAAAAUUAACGGAUAAAAAUACCAAACCAUAGUCUUGCCUAUUUGGUAGUUAAUUUGAAUCUCAAAGCCCGACCCCGAUUACAAGAACACUCUCUCAUGAGAGACCCCAUUAUAAGAACACAUUCUCAAAGUUUUUAACCACUCAUACUUUUUAUCCACUCUCCAACUAGAUAAUACAGAAGGAAUUUAAUUAGAGUAAUCACACUAAAACUUAAAAUGUUUAUAAGUGAGAAUUUCUAAAUAAAUGAAAUAGGUUUCUUUUAUAGGCUUUGAGUCUCACUUUUCUAAAAAAGAGAUAACCACAUCUUGCCAAACCCAAUACUUAAAAACAAACAAAUCAAAUAAUUAUUUUUACAAAAAAAAACUAAAAAAAUACAAGUCGAUUCCUAUUUAUUAAAAUAAUAAAGAAAACCAGUUACCAAAAUAUGAAAUUUGUUUUUAAAAAAUCUACAUCUAAUGAUCUACCAUUUUCAUAAAUUAAUAAUUCUUUUGUGAUUUCACAUUGAGAUCAUAAAUAACUUAAAAUUACCAUGUCGAAGGAAAUUUUGUUCGACAAGAGCCUAACUUAUAAAUGAAUGAUGGAAAAUAAUAUGGUGCAACCUUCAAAACAACAUAAAUAAGAAAAUAUUGCAACAUAGUUAGCAAAUAAGAGAGAAAGAGAAUGUAACCUGAAAAGGAAGUUUAUGAUUAAUUUCAUCAUUGUUGUGGUUUUGUCCAUGAUCUCUUUAAUAUUUUCUAUUAUCUUCAUUGCACUCCUAGUAAUUGAUACCCUUAGGCAACCACUGCUCAACAUCCUUCUUACAAAAAAAAUAGGCAAAAGACGAGGGGGCUUGUAGAGGUGAAUAAAACAAAGGGGGCAGAAUAGUAAAGGAUAAUGAAAACACAAAGAAAUGUAAUUACAGGGAGAACUAUUUGUGGGAGAAAUGGUAGAAUAAUUUGUAGAAAUUUGAUCGUCUUUUUUAUGUUAAGAAGACAAGAAGAACAAAGGAUAACAUAAAAGCAAAUUAGAAAUUCUGUGGAGUUAUUACGGGAAAAAACUAGCUCUGAGAGAAAGCUUGAAGAGAGAAAAUAAAUGAAAGGUACUCUGAUUUUGUGGACAAUGGCAAUCCACAACUCUGUUGUACAUUAUUUAAAAUAGAAAAUAGAAACUAGAACAUGAACCUCAUUGAUAAAUAAACUGUAGCCUAACAAAAACCCUAAACCCCGAAUCCCUAACCCCUAAACCCCUUUGCUAUAGUAAAUGGUAUUUAAAAAUCUCAAAUUAACUAUCUUAAACACUAUUUCAAAUCCUCAAUUUCCUAUAAUAUUUAUUAUUUACUACGAUAUUUGUUAAAUUAUUUUUUUGUGAAGUUACAAAACUAUACUUGUUGAAAUACUUUGAAAAUUAUUCAAAAGAGAUGGAAAAAAAAAAGAUGCAGUGGAAAAUACAUCCACGUAUAUUUUCACAAUUUCAAAAUUAAUUUGACUAAAUACAAUUUAAUUUAGUCAAACCCUAAACCCUAGACCCGUAAACCCCUAAACAAACUCUUUUGUGAAUGAUAUCUUUGCGCCUAUAGCUCCUUUGACCGGAGGUUAUCCCCUUUCCUCUCAUACUCUACUAGACUCUAUAAACUCCUAAUACUAGGAUUUUCAUAAUUCGAGAUCCGAACAAGGAGUUAGCUAUUUUAGUCAACUCCCUUCCUUGCAAAUCUGGACCCAAACACCCCAACAUGGUAACAAACGACUAUAAAAAAAAAAAAAAGUAAUAUCCACAAAAAUAGACAUGGUCCAAAUUCGAAAAAUACCUGUUUCUUGGUGAUGGAAUUGAGGGUUUGGGAGUGAUUGUGGUGUCCCCAUAGUUAGCAACCAUAUUGGUGGAGAUCAAGUAUUUGGUGUAAGUUAACAGAAGGUAUGAAGUAGAUGUUACAUAUUGCAUAUUACUGUCGCUCAUUCUGAACAGCAACCCUCCUUCACAAAACGGUAGGGGGGAAGGGGUUAAACUUCAUUUUCUUUUUACCAUUUUACCGAUAAUAAAAAUAAAAAAGUAGUCGUUGAUCAUCAAAAUAAAAAAAGACAUGGAGUGUAUUUGGGGCAGGAGAAUGAUUCUCCGAGAAUGAUAAAGCAAAUGGCGCUGUUGUUGGGGGUUCUUGGCACGGUGUAGGAACUUUAGUUGAACCUUGCUGAAACUUUUGUUAGUUAAACAAUUGAAAGCAUAUUUUUAUUUUUACAAUAAUAGCAGCCAUACACACAUAUAUAAUAAAAGUUUUACAUAUUCUUAUCUCUUGAAUUUAUCUUUUCUUAAAUAGUACCAUAUAGAAGAGAAAAUAUAAAAAGAUCGCAUGCUCCCUUUUCCUCUUCUUGCUUAUAGUUUUGCACGAUCUUUACUCUCUCCUUGGUUUUUGAUGCAUGUCUUCUGCUCUAAAUAACAUAGAAAAUUUUGAAGACAUGAUAUGAUUAAAUAAAGAAGAUUAAGAAGAAAGAAAGAAACUUAAAAGAUAAAAUAGUUUAGGGCAAAACAAUCUUCAAGAAGAUCCACCCUUAGAAACACAUACCUGAAACCGAAACUUGAAACAGAACCUUGAAACCUUGAACCCCAACAAACGAACCACAAAACCUCCAAACCUUUCAACCUCAAAACCCGAAAACUCCUAAACCCAAAACUUGAAACUCCAAACGCUCCAUCCCGAUGCUCGAAAUCACGAACCUCAAAUCGAUCCAUGCACCCUAAACCCCGAAACCUGAAACCCUAAAAUCCAAACCCCCAAACCCCAAAACUUCUAAACCCAAAACCUCGAAACCUCAAACUUCAAACCUCAAACGCUCCACCCCGGAGCCUGAAAUCACAAACCCCAAAUCGAUCCAUACAUCUUAAACCCCGAAACCUAAAACACGAAACCCUAAAUCCCUAAAAACCGUAAACCGUAAACAAUAAACCCUAAACUUUAGCCCCUAAACCAUAAACCCUAAAGUACCCCAAAACCACAAACCUCGAAACCUCGAAAAGUCUAAACCUUGAAACCUAAAACCCCUAACCCAACCCUCAAACCUCCAAACCCCCAAACCCCAUGAUAUAACUAAAUCAUGCAAACCGGAAAAACGAAACGCAUUUCUACCCUGAGAGCCUGAAAUCACAUGUAACUCCAAACUGAUCCAAUUACACCCUAAACCCUGAAAACCCCUAAAAACCUUAAAACCGUAAACCAUAAAUCCUACCAAUUUUAACCCUUAAACCACUAGUACUCAACCGCUAAAGUCUAACCAAAGUACCGGGUUAAACCACCGAACCCUGAACCCCAAACCAACGGAGAUACCCUGGAACCCCAAACCCUCAAUUCCCCAAUCUCGAAACUCUGAAAACCCUCAAAGAUCCUAAACAUCUUAAACCCUUGAAAGUACCUCUAUUUAUAACCUCAAUACACGCAAAAACCCCUGAACCUUGAACUGUCGAACCUCCACACCUAAUGAACCACUGACAAUUACUGAAACCUAAAACCCAAAAACUACAAACCUCGAAUAGCCACAUAUCCCACUAAGACCUAGUCCGAUUACCCCACAAAACCUUCCAAACUCCCAAACCCCUAAACCCUGGGUAAAAUCGAUAUCUAAAACCUGUAAUCCUAACUUCAAACUUUGACUUUGGUGGUAGAUAACAAUUUCUAUUAUUUAGGGAGUACCAUUCUAUGCAUUUUGCAUUAUUGGAAUCUGGUUAGAAAUUUUUAGUAUUCAUUAUUCCAUGAUUCGAAUUACAUUUGCAUUUUGGGUAGGUCAAACUUUGACUUUUCAAAGUCAUUGGUCAACAUUUUGACGUCUCAGAAUCUAAUAACCAAUUCCAUCAAUUCCGAGCUUAUAACUCUGAAUCCGCAUUAAACCCUAAACCCUGAAACCCAUAACGCUCCACCCUGAAUCCCAAAAUCGACGACUAUAUCACUGAACCAAUCCAUGCACCUUAAACCUCCGAAACCUAACAACUCGACUUAAACCCUAAACCCCUAAAAACCUAAAACCGUAAGACCUAUCAGAGGAUCCUAAUGGACUUUUAGACCCUGGGCUAAACCGAUAAAACCUAAAGUACCCGAACCCGAUUAACCCGAGUUACCCAAAAUUCCUUAAAUAACGGGUAAAUCCACUAAAGUACCCCAAUUGCACUCCGAACACUUGAACCAGAACUGUGAAACCAUUUGAUAAUCCCAAAACCACAAACUUCGAAACCUCGAAAAGUUGCUAGUAACCUUGGAAACCUCAAAAUACCUCUAUACCCAAACCCAAAACCUUCCAACCUCAACACCCACUAAUCCACUAUUCAACAAUUGGUUUAAGGCUUCAACCAAUAAACUCAAAACCUCUCGGGACAAUGAGACGGGUGGAGCCCUCGUUCAAGACCCAGACCCCCAACCUCUCGAGAACAACCUAUCUACUAACCCUUAACCCCGUAAGACCGAAUUCCAACUUGUACCCAAACCUCCAAACUCUCCACCACAAAUUACCCCUGAAACGCCAAACUUACUGGGCAAAAUCUGAAGACCUGAAAUCACCUAAGCAUAUCAAACUUUGAUCUGGUGGAGAUAACAAUUUCAUAGUUAUUUAGGGAAUAAUACUAUGUUAUUUUGGUCAUCAAUAAUUGAGUAUAGUCAGUUUGAAAUUUUAAACGGUGUUCUUACAUUAUGAUUCGAAUUACAUGCAUUUUGGGUAUCAAACUUUAAUUAAUAUUGGUCAUCGUCUCGAAAUCUAAUAACACACAGCCUUAAAACUCUACCCUCAACCCUAAACCCUGAAACCCCAAACGCACCACCCCAAAGCCCAAAAUCACGAACCUCGAACCAGUUCAUGCACCCUAAACCCAAAAAUUGAAACCGUAAAUCCCAAAUCCUCUAAACCCCUAAACUCCUAAACCUCAAAACUCGAAAUCCGAAAUCCGAAACCUGUAAUCCUAACUUCAAACUUUGUUGGUGGAGAUAAAAAUUUCUAUUAUUUAGGGAAUAUUCAUGGAUUAGUUUGAAAUAUUGAGUUUUUUAUUAUGAUUCGAAUUACAUGCAUUUUGGGUAUCAAACUUUGUUUAAUAUUGGUCAUCGUCUCAGAAUCUAAUAACACCCAGCCCUAUAACUCUAACCUAAACCCCAAACACUCCACCCGAAUCUCGAAAUCACGAACCCCGAACCGAUCCAUGCACCCUAAACCAGAAAUCUGAAAUCGCAAACCAUAAAUCCUAAACUUUAACCCCUAAAUCAUACACCCAAAGUACCCCAAACCUCAAACCACGAACCCCAAACCUCAAUCCCGAAACUGGAACCCAAAGUCCUAAACACUAAACCCUAAAUACCCCUAACCCUGAACCCUAAACCUCGAACCUCGAACCUGAACCUUGAACCUGAAACCCUGAAGCCAAAACCACCAACCUCGAAACCUCGAAAAGUCCAAACCUGGAAACCCAAACCGCAAACCUUCCAACCCUCAAACCCCAACCCCCAACCCCAACCUCAAAAGCUCGAAAACUCUAAACCUCGAAACCCAACCCCUACCUCUCAAACCAUCAAACCCUAAACCCUAAACCCUAAACCCAAAACCCUAAACCCUAAACCCCAAAACCCCAAAACCCCAAAACCCCAAAACCCCAAAAUGACCAAAUAAUCCUUAAGUGUAAGUUCGUAACUCACAAACUAACAAAAAGUUCAAAAUGUGUGAAAAUGCACUUUGAGACCUAAAAUGGCAACCAAGUAUGCAAGUGAAACAAACCUAGUCUUAAACAAAUCUAAAAUUUGUUCAAACUAUGUUUAAGUAUCACUUGAACUUUCAGAACGACCUAAGAACGUUUACUUGUAAGUUUGUCACUCAUAACCUACCAAAAAAUUCAAAAAGUACGGAAAAGAAAAAAACACUACAGGACCCAAAAUGGCAACCAAGUGUGCAAGUGCAACAAACUUAGUUCCAAACGAACCUAAAAAGUGGUCAAGGCGUGUCUAAGUAUUACUUGGACUUUCAAAACGACCUAACAAAGCUUAAGUGUAAGUUGGUAACCCAUAGCCUACCAAAAAGUUCAAAAAGUGUGAAAAGGGCACUUCAAGACCCAAAAUGGCAACCAGUGGGUAAGGUCAACAAACUUAGUUUCAAACCAACCUACAACGAGUUCAAAACGUGUCUCAGUAUCACUUGAACUUUUAAAACGACCUAAAAAUCUUACGUGUAGGUUCGUAACUCAUAACCUACCAAAAAAGUUCAACUAGUGUGAAAAAAGCACUACAAGACCCAAAAUGGCAACCAAGUGUGCAAGUGCAAUAAACUUAGUGCAAACCAAGCUAAAACGUGCUCAAAACGUGUCUAGGUAUUACUUGAGUUUUCAAAAUGACCUAGCAAAUCCUAAGUGUAAGUUUGUAACUCAUAAUCUACCAAAAAGGUUGAAAAAAGAAUUUCAAGAACAAAAAUGACAACCAAGUGUGUAAGUGCAACAAACGCAAUCUAGCCUAAAAUGUAAUCAAAAUGUGUGUAAGCAUCACUUGAAUUUUCAAAACGACCAAACAAUGCUUAAAAUGUAAGUUUGUAACUCACAACCUACCAAAAUUUCAAAAAGUGUGAAAAAAGUACUUCAAGACCCAAAACGGAAACGAAGUAUCUAAGUGCAACGAACUUAGUUUCAAGCCAUCCUAAAAAGAGGUCAAAACGUGUCUAAGCUUUCAAACCGACCAAACAAUACUCAAGCGUAAGUUCGUAACUCACAACCUACAAAAAUUUCAAAAAGUGUGAAAAAAAGCACUUCAAGACCCAACAUGUCAACCAAAUGUGUAACAAACAUAGUUCCAAACAAACACAAAAUGUGUUUAAAAGGACCUAACAAUGCUUAAGUGUAAGUUCGUAACUCAUAAACUAAAAAAAGUUCAAAAUGCUUGUGAAACAAGUAUGCAAGUGAAACAAACUUAGUCUUAAACAAAUCUAAAAAAUGUGAAAAACAAAACAAUGUUUAAGUGUAAGUUUGUAACUCACAACCUACCAAAAUUUCAAAAAGUGUGAAAAAAGCACUUCAGGACCCAAAAUGGCAACAAAGUGCGCAAAUGCAAUAAACUUAGUUCCAAACCAAUCUAAAAAGUGGUGAAGGUGUGUCUAAGUAUCACUUGGACUUUCAAAACGAUCUAGCAAAGCUUAAGUGUAAGUUGGUAACUCAUAGCCUACCAAAAAGUUCAAAAAGUGUGAAAAGAGCACUUUAAGACCAAAAUGACAACCAAGUGAGUAUGGUCAACAAACUUAGUUUCAAACCAACCUAAAACGACUUCAAAACGUGUCUAAGUAUCACUUGAACUUUCAAAAUGACCUAAGAAAGCUUACGUGUAGGUUCGUAACUCAUAAGCUACGAGAAAGUUCAAAAAGUGUGAAAAUAGCACUUCAAGAUGACAACCAAGUGUGUAAGUGCAACAAACUUAGUGUCAAACCAACCUAAAACGUGCUCAAAACGUGUCUAGGUAUUACUUGAGUUUUUAAAAUGACCUAGAAACUCUUAAGUUCUUCUGCCUUCUCCUUCAACGCUUAGACAGAUUGUUGAAAUUCUAUGUUUCUGCAAUGUUUCCCAGAACAUGAAACAUUCAUUAUGGAAAUAAGUACCAUGAAUACAAACCGUGAAGAAACAGUAAAAAACAGUCAAUACAAGAAGCAAGUGGAAGCUCAGAAGUUUCAUAUUUCAUCAGGAAGAUUUUCAUUUUGAUUGUCUAAUAUUCAACUCUAAUUACAUAAGGUGCAUUAGUGUAAGCAAAGACGGAAACAAAAGAAACAUAACUCACCUUACCGCCUUCUCUAAUUGAUCCAUUUGCAUCACGUACACAGUAAACCUGUUGCGUUUGGAACUGUUGAAAUUCAAUAAAAAGGAGUUAACAUCAUCUCAUCCUACAAAACAAAAUCCACAACUAUAGAACAAAGACUGUCAGAGCAUACAGCUACAAUGAUAAUGGGAGUGCUUCCCAUCAUCUUGGUCUCUCGUACCUCAACAUCUGAAAUGUGCAGAAUCUGUUUAUCAUAACAGAAAUAAUUACUUUUAAGUCAUAGAAAAAAGCCUUACAUUAAUUAGAAUACCAUCCACCUGUCAAGAUGUGUACAUACCUCAAACAAUAGCCAAAGCACAAGGGGUGUGUUUACGAGUGCUUGUAGCACAAGUAAUGCAAUUAUGAACCCUUCAAUAUAAAAAAAAUGAUUAAUAAUCAAAUACUCAGAUGUUUUCUUUCACUCUCGUACUAUUGUUUAAGUGCUUCUUGGUCAAGCACCUAGACCAAAAGGCUAUCUAUGAGCGUUUUCUAGUUUCUGAAAAAAGAAAUACUCUAAUGUGUGGUCGUACUAGCAUAAACAGUCAUAGAUAAUUAUGAGAUGAUAUCCUUCGUAAUGGGAUAAGAUAAUACUUACUAUUAUUUAGUAUUUUCUUUUAUUUAAUUGAAGAAAUAAUUGGAAAAUAAAACAGAAAGUACAAAAAUGAGUAAUAACCCCCAGUAAAGACCGGUAUGAUUCAAUUCAACAUUUUGUUUGGUCUCUCGACAUGAUGAUAAUUUUUACCUAGAGUGCUUCUAGGCCAUAAUGCAAAUAUUAACACGUGACAGAGUUCCCACAUAUGACUUUAUUCUCUCAUUGUUGCCCAUUAUGUAAAGUUGUCGAUGAAACACCAGCCAGUUUAUCAUUUGCCAUUUUGCUGAAAAAUUUAGGAAGCAGAUCAUCUCUCCUUUGGUUAAUCUGCCGCCCUACCAAACAAGAUUAUGAACCUUCUUUUAUGCACCCUCACUGGCACCCUUUACUGACUUUAAAAGAAUUACGUGGAUGCAUCUUAUUCGGAAAUUUUUACAGAUUCGCAUGGAAGGAACAGGAACAAUCGCCUCCUUAGUGAAAAGGCAGGCCUUAAGAUAGGUUUCUUAUUCCUUUUAAAAUAUAAUCUAUCCUGCUAUGACUUAGUGCAAUUUUUCAUGUUUCUAUAGCUCUUCCAAUCUCUAUUCUUGCAUCUCUUCUGACUGAUUGGAGAAAUCUCUUGUAAACUCUAUUCGCGUGGGUGUUUCACCAAACCUUUUGUAAAUUUCAUACAUCAAUAAAAUUACUUCUUAUAAAAAAAAAUAAGGGGAAGAAACUACGUUUUAGAGACAAAUGGCUCUAAAGCACACACAAACAUUCUCCAUCUCACUAUCUAUCUGCCCUAUUUCCAAUUUAAUCCAGCAUUCAUUUGGGGUUAUUGUAGGUUCAUAUUUAGAAAUAGUCAUUCAUGUUGUGAUGCAAAAUCCCUUUUAUGUAUCUAAAACUAAAAUCACGAAAAUCAUCGUGGACAUGUAGCACAACAAACUAAAUUUCCACGGGAAGCCUUUGCUAACAAAAUGGUAGACAAUAAUUACUCAAGCAAGAGAGAAGGACUAUAAUUAAUUAACAGAAGUACAAAUCAAUCUAGGUGCACAACCACCAAGCAAGAGAGAAGGAACAAUAAACUUCAAUAACAAAAGAAAGGUAGUAUCCAGACUAUCCUUACUUGUUAUCGAAGAAGAUACCUUGGCUUCGGUAAGCCCGAUGCUCUGUCAUACAACGUUCAUUUACCUCAGUACUGCAAUGUUUCUUCAAAGUUUGGGAAUCUACCUAAAACAUAAAUAUAUAUUACAACUUGAAAACCUCCAUGUCAGAAACUUUACUUUAAUUAUCAAACUAGAUGCUAUGCAAGAAUUAGUUAGCAGAAAUACAACAUAAAUAGUAAUGAUAUUCUUUGGGGAGUGGAUAAAAGUAUCUUUCAUCUUCGAAAUAAGCUUAGCAGUUAGCAUUAACCUUUAUAUUUUGAUUACUUCUUAAACUUCAUCCACGAAAUAUGGUAAAGAGAAAGACCUAAUCCAUAAUGCUAAAGAGGAAAAGACCAAGUCAGAUUCCUUUAUUCAAACAGGUUAGUAUCACAGCUCCAAAGGAAAAAACUUACGGAUCUCUACGA